UAUACACCGAAUGUUCUAUUCCAUAUAACUGUGGUAGUAUAAUAUUAUAACUUCACCUACAACCUGUAAUACUAAACAUAUCCCAACCCUAAACCCUAGAUACUAAACAUUGUCCCAAUCACACCUCAACCCAUAAAUACUAAACCCUAAAUUAUAAUAACUAAACCCUUACCCAAAUAUAAACGCUAAAUCCAAAUAUAAACUCUAACCCAAAUAGAAUAGAACAAAGUAAAUAACAUAGUACAUAUUGGUGAAAUUAUAAAAUGUCUAUGAUUGCAUGAAAGAAGUUAAUGUUGACCUCAACCAUACCCUCUCACCUUCAAAAUACUAAACCAUAAAUUAUAAUCACUAAACCCUUACCCAAAUAUACACCACAAACCCAAAUAUAAAUUCUAACCCAAAUAGAAUAGAAAAAAUAAAUAACAUAGUAUAUAUAAGUGAAAUUAUGAAAUGUCUAUGAUUACAUGGAAGAAAUUAAUGAUAAUCCUAACCAUACGCCCUCAUCUUCUAAUACUAAACCCAAAAAUCUAAUCACUAAACCCUAACCAAAUAUGAAUUCUAAACCUUAAACUUUAUUUACUAAACUAUAAACUCAAAUAUAAACCUUAAACCCAAACAACAAAUAUAGUUGUGGUUAACAAAAUUUGUCCAAGUUUACAUUUACGAGGAUCUGGUUGAUGAAAUGAUAAAAUUUAAAUUUAAAUUCUUAGUUUUGAUCAAUACGCAUAAACUAAGAUUCAUAGCAAUGAUACAACAACAAAACAUAACUUAUGCUUAUGCAUUGUACAAUCAUAUAUAUAUUCUCUAUUUUGCAAAUAGAAUAGAAUACAACAAAUAGUAAAGAUAAUAUAUUCCAUUUCACAUGAAUGGUCUUUCUAUUUUACGUACACACGAUCUAUUCCACUUAUAUAUAUAUAUAUUGCAUCAUUACAUAUAAAUGAGAAUAUAUUCACCAGAUGGCUCAAAUCCAAUUUCGAACAAUCUACUUGGCAGCUUAAAUCUUCCGUUUGUAACUUGAGAAACAAAAGCGAAAGAUAAAGAUGUUAGGAUCCAUAUAACAAAGUAAAUAUAAGAUAAAUUGUAUAGUAUAACAAUAGUGUGGAAUGGAUACCAUGUAAGACGUAACUAUAUACAUAGCUCACGAUUUUAAACCACACAUGGGAAUAUAUACGAAACCCUAUCAACUAAUCACGAAACCCUACACAGAAAUAUGACACUUAAUCCAAUGGCAACCCCAAUAUUGCAAUAACGAAUUCAAUACUCCAAAAACAAACCCUCUCCAAUUAGCACUAAGGAAGUAUUAAAAUACGUAAAUAUUAAAUACGAGUAUGAAUUCAGAAGCUAAAGAAGGUGAUAUUAAACGUUCGAUUUUAUUCCAUUCAAAGGCAAAUGGAAUAUACCUAACAAUGAUCAUGUCAUUUCCGUAUGUAACGCAUAUGCUAUUCCAUAUCAAAACAAUAUUACUACAUCAUGUACUAUGCAUAUCAGAUAAAAACACAAAUAAAAUUUAAGAAAGACUACGAACAACCAGAAAACCACAACUGAGUAUACAGUAUGGAACUUAGUCGCAUAAAGCAGAUCCGACAUUCACCGUCGAUGAUGUUGUAUUUAACAUUUAUAGUACCCUAUUUCUGAGUAUAGCCAAAAUAGAAAAGAAAAUAACAGCAAAUGAAGACAAUCGGGCGGAAAACACACAAAACUUACCGUAGUUGAACACAUCCGAGUAGAAUCGAAUGUGGGAAGUGGAAUAGACACGAGGUGUUGAUAGACGUCGCUGCAGCUUUAUCGCCGGCGAGGGGCGUCUGAUUUCCGAAGCGGAGUAUCUCAGGCGAUUACAAACCACAAAAGAGAAGUCAAAAUCUGAGAGAAUCAGAAGGACGUGACGGUGUUUCUUCACUCGGUGCCGGAGACCUUUCAACUUCCACGAAGUUACCAAGAGAAGGAAAAAGAAAGAUGUGAAGGGAGGUAAGCCAUGAUUUAACUUUUACAGAUAAUAAUAAAGAUUUUUAAUUAUUUUUUUUUGUUGCUGGUUUCACCGGUUGAUCCAAAAGGGGCAAAACAAUAUUAAUAUGGAAAAUAACACCGUGUAUAGGACUGUUAGAGAAAUUGGUUAGUCUGUGAAUUAUACGUUUUGUUUGGUUAUACAGCCCAAUUUCCCUUUUAAGAUCUACUUGUUUCUCUUUUAAUAGGAAAAAAACUAACUUUUUAAUCCAUAAUUUUAAAAAACAAGACAAAGAGCUUGAACUCCAAAACAUUUUAACCUAUUAAAAGGAGAGUACAAAAUUAGAUUACCCCUUAUUUUUACCACUUAUUUACAAUGAAACGCCAUUGAGAUAUUUAUUGAACCUAUAUUUAAGUAUGUUUAUCUUUUUCUAAUUUAAAUUAUAGAUUUCCUUAAUCGAAUCUUAACCAAAAUAGAUUUUCUAAUAAAUUUCCUAAUAUAUUUCAUAUUAACAUAUUAAAUAUUUUCUGAUAUUUAUUAGUAAUAAAUAAUAAAUUAAAAACCACAUAUCAUAAUCAAUUUAUAAAAUAUAUAAAUAAAAUAUAAAAUAAUCUAUUCAUAAAUUAUUGGUAUAAUAUUUUCAUAUAUAUAAGUUCAAUUAACUAUCUAAUCUAUUUUUUUUACAGCAAUAAACACUAAAACUAUGAACUAAUUCCUACCGGUUCAGAUAGCCAAACCGGUGGGAUAGAAUCAACAUAAAAUACAGCUGAAGGGGAACUCCGUGCACCACGUGCAAGCUUGUCCGCCACUCCGUGUCCACGUGCAAACUAUCUAAUCUAUUAAAAGAGCAGAACAAAAUUAUAUUACCUCUUAGUUUUACCACUUAUUUACAAUGACAUGCUAUUGAUAUAUUUAUUGAACCUAUAUUUAAGUAUGUUUGUCUUUUCCUAAUUUAAAUUAUAGAUUUCAUUAACGUAUUAAAUGUUUUCUGAUAUUUAUUAGUAAUAAAUAAAAAUAUUAAAAACCACAUAUCCUAAACAAUUUAUAUAAUAUAUAAAUAAAAUAUAAAAUAUUCUAUUCAUAAAUUAUUGGUAUAAUGUUUUCAUAUAUAUAAGUCCAAUUAACUAAUUGAACUUAUAUAUAUAUGAAAACAUUAUACCAAUAAUUUAUGAAACACUAUGAUAUAUUAAACGAUUAAAAUAACAAACAUAUAAUUAUUCAAGGUAAUAAAUAAAACUACUAUGUUUUAACUAAUUGUUAGUAUUUACAAAUAUAUAUUAUACCAUUUAGUACAAAAAAAAAAUUAAAGUGAAAACAAAUAUUCAGACGGUCACAGAUCAAACUUUAGGAAUACACAAUAAUAGCGCGAGAUAUUUUUUUAACAAAUUUAUUUUAAUAGAAAUUAUAAUUCCAAAACUUUUUAAAUUUAUUCUAUUUAUUUUAAGGGGUGCUAAAAUUUUAGAAUUAGAAAGAUUUAUGACCCAACCCUAUAUUGUUUUAGUAUGAAUAAUUGAAAUUUAUAUCAUAAUAUUUUAUUAAAAUUUUAAUUUUACUUUUUGUUAUAAUUGCAUAGUUUACUUUUCAAUCUCAAUUUAUGAAUAGAAGGUUCAACUUUAUUUUGUGAUAUACAUUUUUGUUUGUAAAAAACAAUUUAAAAUAUAUACUACAAAAUUUUAUGGAGUAACAGCAAACAAAUAUAUGACUUUAUAAAUUAUGAAAUUAUCUACAAAAAUGGUAGAAGAAGUAAAGGAAGAAGAAGACCGUACAUGUUGACUAUAACAUUAUUUUUUUCAAAAAAACCAUAAACGUUUGAAAACAUGGUUAAUGUUAAGAAUAUUUACCAUUAACGAUGUAAAUUGUUUUUUACAUAUAUAAAAAUUAAAGCAAACGUCUUAUUCCAUGGCUGCGAUGCUUUUACUCCUUCAUCAAACAGGAUGAUCGCAGAGCUGUGUGGUAUCAUUUGGGUCCUGCAGAGUGUGCGCGACCUGCAUCUUGAUUCAAUCUGCAUUGCCUCAGAUCAUCGAGACACUGUCGAAGCUGUAAUGUCCCCUGCAACGUGGCCACGAUUUCGGUGUCUCUUAGAACAUAUCACGGUCCUUCGUAGUUCCUUCUUGUCAGUCUCUUUUAAAGUUGAGAAAGUGGGGGCUAACUUAAUAGCUCGAGAUAUCGCGCGAAGUGUAAUGAGAGAUGGAUGCCUGCACUCUUAUCUUGCUCUAGGCGGACCAGCUUGGCUCCACAAUCGCAUCAUCCGAGAAGCAUCAAGACAAGACUAAUUCAUCUUUCCUUUAAGAUUUUGUCUUUGUCUCUUGUAGUUGUUCUUGUUUUAUGGUUUGGGAUCCCUCCCUUCUCUUGUCUUUGUUAUCAGACGAUCAAAGAAAAAUGGAAGCAAACACCCGCGCGGUUGUGUGGGUCAAGGUCUAGUACUAUUUAAGCCAUAACUCCUUGUUUACAAAAAAAAAUAGAAGCAAACACCCGUGCGGUUGCGUGGGUCAAGGUAUAGUACUAUUUAAGCCAUAACUCCUUGUUACAAAAAAAAUCAUGAACUCCUAAUUAAACAUGAAAAACCAUGAGUAUUUUUGACCAAGCCCUUUUAACAUCUUAAUUAAUCAGCCGUAAAUUAUUAUAUAACAUACGCUAAGUCAGUAAGCGACAUCGUUUUGACAAAACAAAAUAACCAUAAUCUAAACCCUCAAAUCCCCAAUUCAUCUAUCUCAAAUCUCAAAUUUUCUCAUUUCUUCACAGUCUCAAACAUCUUUUUCUCUCUUCACAAAACUCAAAACUCUACAGAAGAAGAUGGGUCUGAAGGAGAGAGAUAAUUUACUUAUCAAUACGGAGGAAAGGUCGGUUAGAGUCAAAGAAGUUCAAAUCGAAAAUAUCAGAGGUGAAGAUGUUCGAGCCAAAAAGACUAUAGUUGAAACAACUACAAAAGAAAACGAGGGAGGAAAUGAAGAAGGAGAAGUAGUUGGAGAAGAUGAUUAUGAAGCUAUUGUGGAUGAUGAUGAUAAUUAGUUAUAAGGGAAUCAGAGUUGAUGAAAAAGAUUGUACAUAUUUGAAAGUUUAUUUUGGGGAUGUUGCUAGAGAAGCAGAAGAAGCAAGUGAUGUGAAUAGUGGCGACGACAUAUGGGAUGAAGAUAUUAUUCCCGAUUCGUUAUCAUCUGAUGACGAUGAAGAAGCUGUGGUGUGUAAAGAGAUGCGUGCCAACACAGACAACAAUGAAGAGCUCUUAUUCCUGAAGAAGACAUUUGAUAGUGAAGCUGCCUUUAAGGUUGCAUUGCUAAUGUACUCUAUACAGACUUGAUACGACAUUAAACUUAUUCAUCGAAACAGUUUGGUACGAAAUGUUCAGACAAAGAGACAGAGUGUCCAUGGAGAGUGUAUGUUCUAAUGAGAGGAGGAAGCACAAAAUGCAGAUCAAAGUAUACAUCAAUGAGCAUAUAUGUUUGAGAUCGGGCCACUCAAAGAUACUAAAAUGUCAUUAAUUGCGUCAAUCUUUGAAAAGAGAUUAAAGAUAAACUUGAAGUUCACCAAAAAAGAAAUGGCUGAUGGAAAAAAUAUUCAAUUUAAUUGUCACCGAGGAGCAAAGUGCAAAGCCAGAUCAGAACGAUACUGAGAAAGAAAAAUAGGCUAUGAAACACACUCCUCUCGCAUAUAGGAUUAUAAGACAGAGGUUGUGAAAACGAACCCAUAUUCUACAGUAGGGAUUGAGACCAUUUCAAGGGAAACUUCAGCAACCAAACAAAGGUUCAGUCGCAUGUAUGUUUAUUUUACAUCGUAAAUAGUAGCUUGGAUAGAAAUUUGUUUUUAUAAGUGUGCUUCUUAUUAUCCCAUCAAUAUUUAUUAAAAAAUAUUUACAAAAACAUUUAAAAAGUAUUUACAAGAUGUUAAUGUUCACUAAAAGUUUUUUACUCAAUUAUCAUAUUGUUCUUUCGAAGAGUAUUUUUGCAUUUAGAAUAUAUAUAUAUUUAAAAUAAUUAUAUUUAAUUAUUUUAUUUUAUCUCAAAACAUAAAUUUAUAUCUUAUAUCCAAAAAUUAAUUUUAUAUUUUUUAAAAAAAAAUUAAAAUAUUUUUAACUUCUUAAAUAAUAAUAUUUCACUUUUAAAAUAUAAUUUAUAUAUAAUUAAAUAUGAUUCAUUAUUUUAAUAACAAAAAUAAAAACUAAUAUAUAUAAUAUUAAAUAUACAUAUAUUAUAAAUAAAUAAAAUAUAUAUCAUAUAUUACUUUUUAUGAUAAUCUUAUACAUAAAUAAUUUAUUGUUUGACCAAUCACUUUACUAAAUAUAUUAGCAGUAUUAUAAUUCUUCUAUAGCAUACCGGUAGUGCUUUAUCAUGAGCUCUACCAACCAAUAGAGUUAGUAAAUGAUAUAAAAAAAUUGUCUCUUUUAUUUUAAAUUAAUAAAUGGUUUUGUUUCUAUCAAUAGUGGUAAAUAAAUUAAAUUUUAAUUAAGUAAUAAUGUAAAAAUAUUUUUGGGGUUUUUUCAAAUAUUACUCAAAAUUUGGAGUCAACCCCAAAAGUAACUCAUGUUUUUUUUGAAAAUUUCAUCUGACAUAUUCACCCUAGAAGUUAGAAUUAUUCACGAAAAUACCAUUAUUUUUUCUCCGAAAUUGAGUGUUUUACUGUAUCAUCCUUAUCUUCAUUAAGUAUUUAUAAUAUUGAUAUUGCCAUCAAUACACCAACCACCAUGAACAACAACAACCAAUUUAAAGCUAUUAAUGGCACCAAAAAUUUGAAGCUAUUAAUGAACCAAUUUGAAGGCGGUUUAGGGUUCAAAGACAUCACUGAUUUUAAUACGGCGAUGCUUGGUAAACAGUUAUGGCGCCUGAUAGAAAAGACAAACACUUUAUUUUCUCGAGUUUUCAAAGGUCGGUAUUAUAGGAAUGCUUCACCCUUGGAACCGAUUCGUUCAUAUUCUCCGUCAUAUGGCUGGCGGAGUAUUGUUUCUGCUAGAUCUCUGGUUAGCAAAGCAUUUAUCAAAAGGGUGGGAUCAGGGUCUUCUAUAUCUGUAUGGAAUGAUCCUUGGCUCCUAACCACUCGCCGAAACCAGCUAAUAAAAAUCAACACAAUUUGUACCCGGACAUUACAGUAGAGUCUCUCAUUGACUUUACCUCGCGCACUUGGAAUUUGGUGGAUCCUCAGAAUGCGAAACUUAUAGAAAGCAUACCACUGAGCAGGACUGAGAGGGUACAUAGAGAUGAAUGACACUUCACAAAAAAUGGGAAAUAUACAGUCAAAUCAGGAUAUCAGAUAGAGCGGAUCUAUCCAGAUAGAGAAAGACCACCACUACUGAUUGACCCCACAGUUGAUUUUUGAAGGCUUACUGCUGGAAAAUACGGUGCCCACCAAAGUUAAAACAUUUCCUACGGCAAUUAGUGACAGGGUGUAUAGCAGUGCGGAAGAAUUUACAAGCGAGGGGGAUUCAAGGGGAUAUUUGUUGUGUAAGAUGUGGAGCUUACAAGGAAUCGAUAAAUCAUGUGUCUUUUGAAUGUCCUCCAACUCUCCAGGUUUGGGCUCUCUCGAAGAUGCCAUCAAAUCCAGAUAUUUUUCCAACAAGUUCCCUCUUCACAAACAUGGAUCAUCAAUUCUGGAGAGUUUUCCCGCAGAUGGAUGAUCACCAGUUUGCAUGGAUACUAUGGUACAUCUGGAAAGCUAGGAAUAAUAAAGUUUUCAGUAAUCUGGAUAUGGAUCCUAUGGAUACGCUUAAAUUGACAGAAACAAAAUCAACACUGUGGGCUGAAGCACAAGUAUUGAAUGACCAGAGGACGGCACCACCAAUAAUGGAUACAAUAUUGCCAUCGAUUCCAGGAAGAUGGUGUUUUACAGAUGGCUCGUGGAAAGAGGGGGUUAAUUUUUCAGGACAAGGUUGGCUCAGUAUUUUGGAAGGUAUUGAUGGAUUGUUGGGGGCGAGGAAUGUUAGGGCUAGUCUCUCGCCACUUCAUGUGGAGAUGGAAGCGCUACUCUGGGCAAUGGAAUGCAUGAGGAUUUUACGUCAAUUUCAGGCAACGGAUUGUUCUCAAUUGGUGAAGAUGGUUUCGGAACCAGAGGAAUGACCAGCUUUUGCAAAUUAUUUGGAAGAUAUCAAGAUCCUGAAAGAGAGCUUCGCCCGAUCAGAGAUUAUCUAUGUACCAAGGACGCAAAAUUCAAAGGCGGAUAGUCUAGCACGCAGUGAUAGGAAGCAACCGUCUUUUAUCGUUCACAUGGAUGCAGAUCACCCGAUUUGGUUUACAGAGUCAGUAUGAAUCUGUAUUGUUGAUGACAAAAAAAAAUGCACCAAAAAUUUGAUUUUUACUCUUCAUAUUUCAUUUCUUAUGCACAAAAUUCACAUCUCUUUCAUUUUCUCUCUAAAUUCAUCCAAAAAACCAAGAUUUUGAUUCUAAACUUGGUAAAGUUCAUAUAGACAUUGAAUCUCAUGAUUCUAAGUCAUUAACGAGUGGGUCACUUUCGUGGUGAAGUUCUGUGUGUUUGGAGAAGGUAACCAAGUUAUCUCACAAGUUCAAUGUACGAAAUCAAUUUUUUUUCAGAUUUGGUUGCGAGUAAAUCUUCUCUAGAAGACUUCUCUAACUUUUCUUUGUUAAUAAAAAUAUGCGAAAAGACUUUUCGAAAAUUCUUCUCGGAUAAACAUAUUAGUUUGGAAAUUUACCGAAGUUUGUCAGGAAUUUGACUUUUUAUAAGAUUUUCUGGGAAGUCUUAUUUACUGUUACUGAAAUCUUCUCAUUAUCGCAUGUUAGUUUUACAAUUGACAAAUUAAUAAUAAAAAAAUUAAUAUUAAUGAGAAUAGUUAUCGAGAAAAGAAGCCCACAACUUAAUUCAAACACGAAAAUACCAAAUCGGCUAAAGAAAUGUUGAUUAUAAUUUUUCACGAAGCAAAACUGAUUUAUAUUUAACUGAAUCAAAGAAUAAUCAUUGUGAAAUACAAAGAACAAACGAAGCCGAUUAAAUCAGUUAGUAGCAAAUCAAAUCAAAGUGGUAUACAACAACAUUCAAAAUAUUCUCACGGAUUUAAUCAAUCAAACAGCGACAACCGCUUCUUUCUCUUCUUUAACAGGUUCAGCCUCGGCCGUUUUCGUGGUUUCCACGUCAACCUCAACCUUUUCCGGUGUAGCAACGACAACCGCCUCCACCGCUGCUUCAGCGUUUUCUGUUGCAGCCACAUUCUCAGGUGCUGCAGCCUUACCAGCAGAAGAUGACUCUUCCACGGCCGCUGCAACCUCUGGCUCAGCAGCAGGAGAUGUUUCCUUGGUCGGCUCGACCUCAGAUGCUUCUUUAGGUUCGACAGAAGUUGUUUCAGUCUCUGUCUGGUUCUGUUUCUCACUGCUUUCUUCUGUGUUGUUUUCCUGUACAACGGUUUCAGAAACAGGCUUGUUAGGAACAGAGCUUUCUUCGUUGUUCAUGUCUGAUUCCUUGGGUCUACUCGCACAGCCACCCAUUAUUUAGUUUUCUUUUUGUUGUUGUUUUGGUUGGGCUUAGGCUGUGCAAAGUGAAAAAAAUUACACAAGAUUUUAUUGUUGACCCGAGGACUGAACAAAUGAAGAGGACAUAGUUAGGGUUAAAUAGAUGAAGACGGUUCCGAACUUUAUGGAAAGCCUUCGGUCUUUUCUUGUGUGCUGAGAAAUUUAAUUUGGAGAUGGCUAAGAUUAGUUAUCUACAGAAGGUUAGAGACUUAUAUUAGAGAUUAACAGAUAGACUCAUGAGCAAAUUUAGGGUUUCUGUAUUUGAAAUUGAUAUGGUCAAACUCAGACGUAUGGAAGAAGUUUUGUGGACCUCGAGAUUUUCGCCCUGUUUUUUUUAGUCGUUCCUAUUUAAUUAUUUUCCAAGUUUGGUUCAACUUUAGAGGCAAAAUAAAUUGAGUUAUUAACAUAAAUAUGCAUUUUGUGUCUUUUUAUUACAUGUGAGAGCACAUUGUGCUACUGGGAUACUUUUUAUUGGUUGAAGACUCAUUUUUCCUCUAAAAAGCUAAACCAAGAGGGAGUAAUGAAGUAAUUGAGUGAUUUUUUCUAGUUGGGCUAGUUAGGUAUUUGAACUUUAAUUUUUUUAAAAAAAUAGGGAUUAGGCUGGUGGACGCGAACGUAGGUAAAAUUGGAUUUUUUUUUUUCACACGGACCCGGGGAAAAAGUAACUCUCGUCAGGUUAAUUUUUUUUUCUUUAGUAACAAUAAAACGUAGAAAAAAACGAUGAAAGAGUUUUUUGACAGAGAAUGUUGUCACGGCGGAGACUGACGGAGAAGACGAUGUCUUUGCGAAAGAGGAGAGAUUUUAAGGGCAAAGAAGAAGGUUAGAUCCAUUUAUCCAUUUUGGGUUAGUGUUUCGAUUCUGGGAUUUCGUUUUUGGGAUUAAGGUUUGGGAUUUCGAUUUUGGGAUUUGGGAUUCGUGAUUUUGAUUUUAGAAUUAGGGUUUUCAGAUUUUACUAAGUCCCAGAAUUUUGUUUUGGGUUAGUGUUUUAAUUGUUCAAUUAUCUCUAAAAAAGAAAAGUCACAGUUUACGUGAGAAAAGAUGACGGAGAAACUAACCAAUAAAGGACGAAAUUAAAAUCAACGGCGACGUACCCAGGCAAAAGCAACAAUGACGACGAGGAAGAAGCGCUCAGGGAAGGAGAAAGCAAAAGGUGAGUUUAUUUGUGGUUUCCCAAUUGAGUCGGAUUUAGGGUUUCUAUGUGUAUUUGUUCUUGAGUUUGACUAGUUUCUUGUUGCACUGCAGAGGUAGCAAAAACAUAUGAGGAACGGGGAACGAUAUGAUACAGACACUUUGUCGGAUUCCCGUUGGUGCUUCAGUUGAUUUUGGCGGAGGUGCUAGAGGCUGAGCAUGAUCCUAAGGUAACUAGUUGUACACAUGUACAAACGUUUAAUGUUGUACACGUUACAUGUGUACAUAUUUACUUUGCAUAUUAUGCUUGUAUGGUUUGUAGUAGAGGUGUGUAUUGAUUUUUAUUUGGUUUGCUUUGUUUCUAUGUUUGCAGCUGAUUGGGCAAUAUGUGAUGGAGUAUGGGGAAGAUAAGGAGGAUCUUUGGGGGAAAUUUGACAGAGAUUUUUAAUCGUAAAAUUGCCAAUAUGGUUGAGCUUCUGAAGGCUGGGCACAAAUACAAAAAUCAAGAGUGGAGAGUAGGUGAUGCAGCUGAGCGUAAGUACAUGUGAACAAACAAGUAUGUACAUGUGUACAACACGGAGUGCGUACAUGUGUACAAGCGAUUAUAUGUACAACUUGGGACGUGUACAUAAAUGGUGUAUUUUGACAUGUUUGUUGGUUUUGAAGGAUGAAUACUUUUGGCAUGAUACUAUGAUAUUUUUAGAUUUUUUAGGUAUAUAAUGUAAAGUAGCAGGAUGACUGUUGAUUCUAACUAAAACUCUUCACAUUGAAAAUGUAUUUUUGUAGUGUACAUGUCAGCUAAAAUUGUACAAAGUAAUGGCUAAUGUAGGUAAAUUGUAAGAUCUCUCUUUAAUCAAAUACCAAAAAAUUUACUAUCAUGAUCAAUGAUUCACAUGUACACAAGUUCAUUUGUGCAAUGAUUUCUUUGUACACCAAUUAUUUUUCAUACAUUUGCAAGUUUAAGUAUUUGUAAGGUCUAUAGUGUCAACGUGUACACAUGUAUUUCGUUGUCCAUAUGUACAUCAGUUCAUCGUUACAUCUAUUCGAUUUUAAUAUGUAAUUGUGAGUUCGAAUGUUUGAAGGCCCAAUAUCAUCUAAUAUCAACUGAAAUCGUCUAGCAUAAAGUAAUUGAUUCAUAACUGCCAAAGGCAUAUGUAGUAGAGUACCCACACUGACCACGUUUUUAAGAGUAAUCUUCAGAUGUCAUGAUUUAUAAGUACGUCUUAUGAGUGUGAUGUCCAAAAGUAAUGGUUUCUAAUUUAUGAUGUAUCAUGUGUACGUAUCACGUGUACGCAUAUUCAGUUGUAUAGAUGUAUAAAAAUACAUGUACACUACAAGAAAACUUGCUUUUAGCCACAACUUAGCCACAAAACUUUUGUGGACAGUAUAAAACAGCUACAAAAUCUCCGCAAAAUUAGCCACUACUUACAAAAUCUAAAAUUUGUGGUCAUUUGUUGUUUUUUUGUUGCUCCAUAGCAGCAAAAUAACUUUUGUGGCUAUUCGAAGAAACACAGCCACAAUUAACUACAAAAAUAAAUUGUGGAUAUACAUUUCCACAAAAAUCCCCCACAAGAUUCAUGGCUUCCGUAUCCACAACUUUACUCGCGGAUAAUUGUUGUUAUAUAGCUACAAAAUGUACUUUGUGGCUAUCUCGAGGAUAAAAAGUCACAAUACGCUUCAGAAUAAAUUGUGGACAUAUAUUAUCCGUAAAUAUCCACAGAAUUUUUCGUUAACAUUUUAACCACAGACUUAAAUUGUAGCUAUCCGUAGAAAUAUAAUUUUUAAAAUUGCAUGUGGUCACAAAUGUGGUUGUGGUUAUAAUAUUUAAAAGAUUAUAAUGUUAAGAAAACAUAUCAGCAUGUUCAAAUCUGGUUCCAUAAUUAAUUACAUUAACUAUCUACGCUUGUACUAGGAUUUGUACGAUACAUUAAAUAUGUUAUACAUUUUUUACUUUUUUUAGGUUGCAGGGAGAACAUAUCUUUAUAUUACCAAAAAAAAAGAUAAGAAUUUUUUUUUUUUAAAAUGAAGAUACAAAGUGAAACAAUUUCACAUAUCACUAGGCAUUUCAAUUCUCGGUUUGCUUCAUGGUUUGGUUCUAAAGGUUCUAAAGGUUUAGGAUCUAUUAAAAUAUUGAGUUUGGUUUUGUUUUGUUUAUUUCGUUUUUUUUUUGUUUGGUUUGGGUAACCAAGUUGAAAUCCGUCUUAUUUCCAAAGUAAUUUAAGAUUCUAUCCGGUUUUGAUUUUUUUUGUUAAUUUGGGUUAAAAGUAAAAAAAAACAAUUUUUUGAGAUUAAUAUCAGAUAUUUUGGGGUUGCAGAUAAAAACUCGAAUAAUUCAGAUAAUUUUAAUUAUUUUGGAUCAAAAUUAUAUUAGUCAUUUAACUUUUUGGUUAUUUAACUUAUAAAUAAUUUUAAGUUAUUUUUAUUUUUAAAAUAAAUAUAAUUAGUAUAUAUAUAUAUAGAUAUAUUAUAUUAUAGAAAUUUGGGUACUUAUUUGGCUCUCGGUUUGGUUCGAAUUCAGUUUUUUUUUUUUGGUUCAAUAGAUAUAUAUGGUCCACUAAUAUAACUGUUGGGAUUCAAACUCGUACCGAACUUAUUUUCUGAUUUAGUUUAAUUUGGUUCUUUGGUUCCAGAUAAAUGUGUGAAAGACUAGUUGCAUCAAUUAUAAAAAAGCUCGGAAAAUAAUUAUUUUAAAUAUUUAAGAAGUAGCCAUAGACUAGCAUCAUAACUACAAAAGAUAUUAACUAGAUUUUGGGACCGAAAAAUAAAUGAUUCAUCGCAACACUAUUAAAGAGUAAACACAAAAAAUGAGUAAUGAAGAAUCAUAUAUUAUUGACAAAAAAAGAAGAAUCAUAUAUUAACAAGUCACAUGUUGUACAUUAAAUAUAAGUCAUAUAAUCAAUCUCUCAUAAGGUUGUAAGAUGCAUAUUUAUUGGUUCAGACAAAUAGUUGAUGGGGCAAAGAAUAUACUCUUUAACCACAAAUAUAGCUAUCUAAAGAAUAUCUAUAUUUGAUGGAGCAAAGAAUAUAUUUUCUUUAGCCUCAAAUAUAACUACGUAAAGAAUAUGUAUAUUUGAUGGGGAAAAGAAUAUAUCUCUAUAAUAUUAUUUGAGAAGUCAGUUUUCUACGUGUCAUGCUCACGUUAAUCUUUACAACGGUUAUUUACAGAGAUACCCUUAAUGAAUUAAAAUAUUGAAUUAAUAUAUUAUUAUUAAUUUUUUUGUUUAGUUUUCUUUUUAGUUUUUUCCAAAACAUAUAUAAAAAGAAAAAAAUUAUAAAGUUUAAAAACGAAUUUAAAAACAAAAAUAUAUGUAUAUAAAAUAUGAUUUCAUUAAAAAGGAAAGUUCCCAAAAUAGUAAUAUUCCGUUUAAAACAUAUUUUUACCGAACAAAAAUAUACUUAUAACCGAGAAAUAAAACUAAUUUGAUUUGAAUUAAUUAGAAUAAAAAAUAAUUUUACUUGAGUUUGAAUUUGACAGAAUUUAUUUAACUCGACUAAUCCAAUUUAUAUCCUAAAUCAAAGAUCUAACCACAAUUAAAAUAUAUAAUUUAUAAUAAUAAUAUAUUUAUUUUUAUACAUAUUUAUUGUAGGAUGACUCAAAAUAUAUUAAUAAAUAAAAAUAAAAUAUUAACUAAUUGUUACAAUAUAAUUAAAUAUAUAUAUGUAUGAGUCUUCAGAAUAUUAUCAUUAUAUUCAUUUAUGUAAUUUUCAAUACAAACUUCAUUUAUUUUUUACUUAAUUUUAAGAAAAAUAUAUAUUAUGUUAUACAUCAUCUUACUAAAAUAUAUUUACAUAUCUGGAAAAACAACCAAUCUAAAUGCAAAUAAGAAUUUAAUCAAAAUUUACUAUAUUUAGAAUAAAAUAUUAUAGUCCAGUUCGGAGAAAUAGAUGCAAUCCAACAUACCUAGGUGAUAAACAAAUCGAUUGUUUACCCAGAAACAACCAAACCGACUAAAUAAAACAUAUCCAAAAUCAUAUGUCUAGUUAAAAUAAUAUAAUAUUAUCAAAACAAAUUAUACAAAUAAAUUAUAAAUUUAGUUAAAGCCAAAAGUAAAUAUCAAUUAAUUAUAAUAUAUUAUCUUUAUAAAUAUUUAUAUCCGUGCAUGAUCACGGGAGAAUCACCUUGUAUAUAUAUACAUUAGAUGGAGCAAAGAAUAUAUUCUCUUUAGCCAUAAAUAAUUGAUGGGGUAAGGAAUAUUUGUAUUUGAAGCCUAAGAUGAUUAUAAAUUGUAAACAAGCUCGACAUCGUUUCAUAACACAAGAAACAAACUUUCUAAAAAAUGGGAGAUUUCUUUCAAUCAAGAGAAUGGAUGUAUAAAAGAUUAAAACGUUCUGAUCAUAGUUUGUGCGAGAAAUUUAUUGAGGGUGUAAACACUUUUAUUUCUUUUGCUUGUAAUCAAGCAUUUUUUCUUGAGUGUGGGAAGUUGUUUUGUCCUUGUAAAAAAUGCAAGAAUCAAAAAUAUCGCGAUGUUGAUACAGUGACGAAACAUCUUAUGUUGAAAGGAUUUACAGAAAAUUAUUACUUGUGGACGCAUCACGGAGAAAAUUGGCAAUACAAUGAUGGUGAAGCCUGUUCAUACGGCAAUUUCAAAACCUGUUCAUACAGCAAUUUCAGGUAUUCAAUAUUUGAAAUAAUUAUUAUUUUUUUUUGCCAAAAAGAUAUAAUACUCUUGCUGAAUAUUUUUAAUUAAUAUUCUUAUUUGUUCAAUUUGUGUAGAUAUCGCACUCUUCUUUCGAGAUAUAUCUGCCAAAAUCUUGAAGAUUGAAGAUGUUGCUAGACUGAAAGAAAAUAUUGCAAUUAUGCUUUGCAAUCUUGAAAAAAUAUUUCCACCGGCAUUCUUUGAUGUGAUAGAACAUCUACCUGUCCAUCUCCCAGAUGAAGCUUUACUAGGUGGUCCGGUCCAAUAUAGGUGGAUGUAUCCGUUUGAACGAUACAUGUAUCAUCUGAAAAAAAAGGUUAAAAACAAAGCCAGGAUCGGAGGAUCAAUAGUGGCUCAGUGUGUGAAUGAAGAAAUUUCUUACGUGACAAAUAAUUAUAUUGCACCUUCAACAGUUCAAGUCCCUGAAAAAGAUGUCAACGAAAUCAGAUUCACUUACAAAUAUCUUGAUGUUCCAAUAAUGUUCCAGCAAGAAGGAAGAAUCAGUGGAAAAUCAAGUAGUGCAUGGUUAAAUGAUGAAGAUUAUAAUAUUCUUCAGACAUUUUUAUUGCUCAACUGUGAAGUAUUUGAACCAUAUGAGAGGUAUGUUAUGUUAUUUAUAAUUAAUAAUGACGUAGAUGGUUAUGAAUAUAUAAUGGAUAUCUAGAAAACCAAUAAUAUAUAUGCAGGAUGUUUGAAGAUUAUAUGAUGGAUAACCACCCAAACAUAACUUCUAAAGAUAUGACAAGAGCAAAAGAUGAAAAAUUUGCAAUGUGGUGUAAAGAUUACGUAAGUGCGAAAGUUAUAUACAUGUUAUAACAUAUUAUAUACAUGUUUUUAUCUCAGCUAUUAAAUAAGAAAUAUAUGCAGAUUAACAAUGCUAGCAAAUCAUUUGAAUUUCCAUUGUGGAUGUUGGAAUUUGUACAAGGUCCAAAGCACCAAAUCACGUCAUGGCCUAUGUAUUAUUCGAGAGGAUAUCAUUACCACACACAAAGCCAUGGACAAAAUAAAAAGACAAUGAAUUUUCGUGUUUGUGUUCCUGGAACUACUGAGACCGAGUAUUUUGGACUUAUCGAAGAAAUAUUCAUGAUAGAGUAUCAUGGUGCCGUUGGGUUAAAAGCCAUGAUUUUUAAAUAUCAUUGGUUCAACAUCGAUCAAGGAAUACGAAGACAUCCAUCUGGCAUUGUUGAUGUUUGCCCACAAAUGCAUUAUGACAAGUACGAUCCUUUUAUAUUACCAGAACAAUGUGAUCAAGUAUGUUAUGUUCCUUAUCCUCGUCUACGAUCAAGAAGAGAAGAAUGGUGGACAACAAUAAAAGUUAUGCCGAGAGGAUUUUUUGAAACUAAAGAAGUUUCUGAUACGCCCAAAACAGGAAGAAUGGCUUUGGCCGGGUGUUUGAUAUGAACCGAGAAGGCGAUGGCACUUCUGGAACUGGAAUGGAAUGAAUGGAUCGUCAAGAGAUGCGGAAUGACUCUUGAUAUACCACGAUCUAAGGCUAACCACCUAAGAAACGAUGAAGGUGUGUUGGCUAACCACCAAACACACAAAAGAUGAUUGGCUGACCACCAAAUCAACAAGCCGGUUCAAACCGAUGAACUAGCUAAGAACUCUCUCUCUCACUCAGAGAAAAGAAGAAUCGAAAAUAAACAACCAAAAUGAACUGAUUUUAUUCAUCAAAGGGACUACAUAUUUAUACUACUUGUAGUCAAAGAGAAUUAAAGAGAAUUGUGGGAAAACAAGGCAUAGAAAAUAGAAACAUUGACUAGAAUAUUAUUAAUGAGUCAAAGACUCAGUCUUCCAUGCAGAUUAGUCAAAGAUGACCAUUCGGUUCACGUUCUGGUCAAGGAAACCCUUCGGCUACUGUCCAGGUUCAUCCGAACCAGAUGGAUGCACGGGGUAAAGAUAAGGACGCUUGCGGGACUGUCCGGAUGGUCCGCCAGAUAAGAAUGCAUGUCCGUCUUUGGUUUCUUCACGACCCAAGCUAAGUCUGGCUCGACCGUGGGUUUUAGAAUGCCGAGUUGGUCGGGGAAGACGGGCUGUGGUUCGGUCGGUUAGGUCGUCUGGACGUGGUUCCAGCCGAAGCUCCAAUCGAGACGUACGCGGGACGGCUCGGUCAGUCUGAUCGGUACGGUCGGAUGAACGAACCUCGGUCAAAUUGUUCAGAACGUCCUGAUCUCCAUCCUGGUUGGCUCCAAUGGACUGAUCCACGAACCAGGGCACAUCAGUUUCUCAAAAUGCAAUACAAAACAAUAUUGUUGAUCAUGUGAUACCAUCCACUAAUAUUGUGCGAGUCGAAGCACAUGCAGUCCAAGAUGAUUCAAUUUACGAACCGAUGCCAAUGAUUAAUCCAGAAGAUGAAUAUUUAUCUGAAAAUGAUUUUAUCGAUCAGUAUGACGAAUAUUCUGAUUCAGAUUCGCAUUCGGACUAAUAAUAUUGUAUGAAUAAAUGGUUAAAAAAUAAUGUAUGUGUUAUAAAACAAAUAAGAAGAUAAAUAAUAAUUUGUAAUGUAUUUAAUAUUGUAUGAAUAAAUGGUUAAGAAAAUAAUGUAUGUGUUCUAAAACAAAUAAAAAAACAAAUAAUAAUUUGUCAUGUAUUUAACUUAAUUCCUUUGUUUUAAUAUUGUUUUUAAUUUAUCUUUGAAUGCUAAACUUUAUCAAAAUUCCUAUUUAAUUAUUAAUAGUAUUAUUGUAAAAUACUAACCACAAAAUUCUUAAGUGGCGGGAGUAAUUUCCCGGGUAUAUAACUCCCGUAGAAACAAAUAGCGACAAGUAGAUUGGUAACAAUCUAAAAAUUAGAAAGUAAUCACGAAAUUUUUCACUUCCCGGGUUGUUUUCCCGGCUAAACCAAUAUCAGCCACUUGAUUUAUUAAUUGAAAAAAAGGAAGCUAAUCUACUUGUUUGCUCCGCCUACAAAUAUUACGUAUCUAUCUUGUCCUCUUCUCACAGUCAAUCUCUAUCCUUUCUCACAGUCAAUUUAAAAAAAAAAAAAAAGAAGCUAACCCUCAGUAUCCUUUCUCUCUUCCUUACGUUCCUCUGUUUAAGGUCAGAAAUCUCUUAUUUGUUUCCCUUUUAGAUUCGUAUAUUGAAAUCUGAGGGGUCAAUCUUCUGGGUUUUUAAUUUUCAUGUUCUGUUUCGUUUUAGGGUUGGGGUCAAUGUACAACCCAUAUUUGUAAUGUUCAAGUAUUUGUAAUGUUUUUUUGUUCUUUUGCAGAUGAAUAUCCUACGUGGUUCUUCUUCAGGGCCAGCUAAGAGGAGCCGUCAAACUUGUCUUCCUCCUGGAUUGAACAGGCCUGCUACGUCCGCUUCUCUUCCUCCUGGAGCGACCAGGCCGGCUUCGUCUGCGUCUCGACAUCCACUUCCAAGCUUAGCUGCUGUGAGGAGUGCACCAGAGAGACGUAACAUGCCUCUUCUCCAUCCACAAAGGCCCAAUGGAACUUUAUGGUGAGUUCAGUGUUUCAGUUAUUUGUUUGUCGUUUUAGUGUUUGAGUUAUUUUUAAAGUUCUGUCUUUUGAGUUAUUAGUUCAGACAGGAACUAAAGGAUAAAGAUGAUUUGUUGACUUGAUAACGUCUGUUUAAAACGACUGUAUUUUUAAUUAUGUGUUUGAGUGUUUAAUUUAUUUGUUAAGUUUUGUAUUUGAGCUAUGGUUCAGACAGUGGUCUUGUACUAGGUCUAAGGGCUAUUGUAAUGCUUUGAGUUUACAUUGGUCUUUGUCUCAUCUAACAAAAUGUUUUGGUGCUUUUUUUUCAUAGGUUUGGGAUAGACGAUUGCAUCCGGAAAGAUGUAGUGUCAACAUAUCAGUCAAACUUUUGGGGACCAUGGUGGACCUACAGAAUGGUGCCAGAUGAGAAGAAGGUCGCUUGGUGGACUAGUUUUCUGGUAGCUUCUCUAGAUUUACUUUGUUUAUUGGUUGAUAUAGUUGUAUAAGCUCUCACCUUAUUCUAAUUAACUAUGUUUUUGUUGUAGCAACAAUACUAUUGGGAUCCUAAGCAUCACAGUCAAGUUCGUUUUCAGUGGGAACAAAUUCUGAAAAGCUCAAUCAGAGACCUUGUAAGCAAGAGGAGGAGACCAGAAGAAAAAAAGAAGCCAGAUUUUAUUGGCCUAGCAGAUUGGAACUUGAUGCUAGAGACUUGGCAGGAGGAGCCACACCAAAAGAGGAGCAAAACGAAUUCUGAGAAUGCUUCCUCAAACCCAGAUGGUUUAGGCACUCACCGUCAUACUUCAGGAUCAAAAAACCACAAGCGUUAUGCUUAUGACUUGGUUAGUCAAUUUUUAUAUUCCAUCAGCUUUAUCUUCUGUAACUUACAUAAAUUUUUUAACACCAUUUGCAGACUGUUAAGGCUGGUGGAGUAGCACCUCCAGUCACUGAAGUAGUGCGUAUGACCCAUACUCGCAAGGAUGGCACUUUCAUUGACAAAAGAGCAGAAGGUUUUGUGAAGGCUGCCGAGGCUCUUGCAUUGGAGCGAUCACAAGGUUCCUGUCUGACUGAUGAAACCCCAUCAGCACCCUCUACCCAGCAGCUCAACGCUGCUUACAUUGAAGUAAGAAUCUCCUAAUCUAACUUACAUAAUCUAUUUUAAUAGCAGAAUGAAUUUAGUUUUGCAUAAUGAAUUGAUCGACACUGUUUUGUUUGUCUAUAUCCAUGAGUCUUUUCAAUUUUUUUUUCUUGUAGGUGGCAACCAAUGGCAAAGGGCGAGUUUAUGGGCUUGGUUCAAUUCAGGAUAUUGAUGAUGAACCAAGUGAGAAUGCACCAGCAUCUUUAUUUACACAUGUGGCAGUUGAUGGACGCUUGACCACCAUGGAGGGUGUUGUAACUUGCUUGAAGGAUGAUGUUUCUGGCUUGAAGGAGGAUGUAAUUGGUAUUAAGCGAGGCAUUGAGGUUCUGAUGAAGAUGAAUGGAGUGGACCCUGUUACCUUUGAACCUAUUCAGCGUGAGAGCGAUGCAUCUGUUCGAACUCCCCAAUCAAGCCAAGAACUUGAACAAAAUUCUCCCGUACAUUAACUCUGAUCUUGGUGUCUUUUGUGUUUAUACUAAGUUAAGCUCUAACAUCACUAGAUGUCUUUUGUAAAAACAUCACUAGAUGUCUUUUGUAACUUCUGAAGAACAUCAUUAGAUGUCUUUUGUAAAAAAAUUUUAUAAUUUUAAUGGUAUUUGAAUGUUUAAAUUAAUUAUUAUGUUGUUUAAUGCUUUAAAUUUGAUUUCAAACUAUUAAUCAGUACAGUUUAAAAAAUAAAUCAAAAUAAAUAAUAAAGCCACAGAAAAGCACAUAUAAAUUUGUGGCAAUUUUUAAAAUAAAACCACAGAUUUCCACAUAAUAAGUUGUAGUUAUACAAGCCACAAAUACAAAUAAUUGUGGUUAUUUUGUGUCUAAAUUUCCACAAAACGUUUUGUUGUUAUCAGUAGAAAUAAAGCCACGAUUUUAAGUGGCACGAGUUGUGGCUAAUAAAACCACAAAAAAAUUGUGGCUAUUUGCGUAUUACAUCCACGAUUAGUUUUGUGGCUGUUUGUAGAAUAUUCUCUACGGUUUAAAAUGUGGCUUUUUGUAGCAAAAAUUGCAACGAAUCCGAGUUAGCGCUAUUUGUGGCUAUUGUCCACAAAAACCGUUUGUGGCUAAGUCGUAGAAGCACAGCACCAAAUAACAACGCUUAUUCGAUUGCCACAAGCCCGUAGUCAACGAAAUUUUUUUGUAGCGAUUUGUGGCUAAGCGUUAAAUAGCCACAAAUAUUAAGCGAUAGCCACAACAUUUUUCAUGGCUAAUUACAGAAUUUCUUGUAGUGGUACACAAACACAUGUACAAAAAAAUAUGUGUACAUAUGGAUGUUGAUUGUACACAUGGAUAGCAUGAAUUAUGUGUACAUGUGGACAUCGAAAAUUAUAUUACGCGUAGAUACUAUUUUGAUUGUACAAUAUCAAUCAACUCUUUACUUCUCAGCUACUGGGGCCUUGCAUAGGAUGUCCUCAUCAACAUUGGACGGUAAGCUCUCUUAUGCCAUUCAGACACACUCUAACAUCUCUCUAAUGCGAGACUCUACAUCAACAUAGUAACAUAUCAAAAACUCCAUUGUAGCAGUCAUUUUGGAGCUAAAGGUACAAACUUUGGGAUUAAAAGGAAGUACCUUGAGCACGGUAUUCAUAACCUUUUCCACGGAAGUUGUUGGCGACGAUGGUUGCAGCAUGAGACUUGGUUUGAGAAUCAGUGGUGAGGUUGUAUAGAUGAGUGAUUCUUCGAUGAGUGUAGUAGAAAUUGGAGACUUUUUGUCAGCGGAUUCGAACUGUGUAGUGACCCAAAUUUUCAAUUCUGAAAUUUGGGAGAUGCAAUCUGAAGAAAAAAAAUAAACAAGAACAAGGGAGAUGAUGAUUUUGCUUAAUACAAUGGUAAUAAUCUUGGUCGUAGAUGAUGAAAGAACCUGAGUUAAUAUAAUGGCUAGGAAUAUUGGUAGAUAUAAGUCUAAUCAAGAUCUGGAAAAAUAGAUCUUGACCGUCGAAAUUGGAGACAGAUCAAUGGUUGUGGUGAAAGCCCGCCACUUAUCUAUUUUAUAAGUAAACUAGGCUUUUAUGAUUGAAUUAAGAGAUAACUAAUUUAGUUAAGAAUGAAAAGAAUAGUUAUAGAAAGUGUGUGAGUAGAAAAAUGUGUCUUAUUGUGUAAUAAAUAAGAAGGAAUGUGUCCUAGAGUGAAAAUAUUUCAAAUAAAAUACGGGUUUAGUCAAAUAAAGUAAUUACUGUUCUUUUAUGUGUAAAGCUUUGUCAAUGUCUUUUGAAUAACUAGGAGUACUAGUUCGUUUUCCGCGCUACGCGCGGAUAAUUUACUUUUAAAGUUAACAAUUUUACAAUUUUUUAACCCCUAACAUAUACUCUAUUUGUUCCAAAAAUAUAGACUUUUUAAUAUUUUCACACAUAUUAAGAAAACACAUCAAACUACCAUAAUAAAUGUAUUGUUUUAUGUAAUUUUCAAUUUUCAAGUCAAUUAAUUUUCUUGAAGUUUACAAUUUUUUCAUAGAAAACACAAAAAAUACAUCUUUGUGAAACAAAUUUUUUUUUCUAAAAAGUCUAUCUUAAUGGAACGGAUGGAGUAGUAUAAAAGGAGGGGGGGGGGGGGGGGGGGAUGACAUGGGCUGAUUUUGGUUGUUUAAAUGUUGCAUUUUAUUUUAUUUUUGUUCUGGGGGGGGGGGAGGGGGGGGAUGACAUGGGCUGAUUUUGGUUGUUUAAAUGUUGCAUUUUAUUUUAUUUUUGUUCUUCUAAAUUGUAUUUUAUAAGUUUUUAAAAUAUUAAGACUAAGUUUAGAAUACAAAAACUGUUUGAAAGACAGAUCGAAAAAGUUGCUUUUAGUUGGGUUUUCUUGAAGAUCAUCCUAUGAAUUGUAUAGGUUUUAUUUGUUUUUUCUCAAAUUCAUACAUUAAACUUGAAUUUUAUCUUGCCUUAGAUGCUUUUGAUGAUUUUUAUUAUGUUGUCAAAGUAAAACUGUGUCGCUAGCGAUGAAAUGAGCAUUAGCUUCCCUGUAAAUAAGAGAUAUUAAUCAUAAUGUAUUACAUUUUGGGUUCUUGUUUUGACAGUUAUUUAUUGAACAUGUAAUCUUUUCCACCACAAUAAUUUUAUAUUUUUCAUUAUUUAUGCUUUUUAGCUAUGUGAACAUAGAUGCUUAGUUGUUGUGAAAGCUUUACAAUCGUUGGUGUAUAUUAUAAGUUUUAUAUAAGAUGGAGGGUAUGUUAGAAAUGUAAAAAUUAUAUUUCAUAUAUACAUGUUUUAACUAAUUAUAUAAAAUUAUGGAAAGUAUAUAUAUAAUCUUUCAUCAAUUACUUUUUACCAAUUAGGAAUUUAUAAAUUAUACAAUUUGUUUUAAAAGAAUAAGUUGUGGCAACAAAUAUAACGACUUUACAUUUUAUAUAAAGCAUUAUCAUAAUAUACUAAUUUUAAUAAAAUUCAUACUUAAUAUAACUAUAAUAUUAUUUAUAAUUUUUUAUAAAUUCAAUAUUAAGAUUUAUAAAGUCAUUUAUAAGAAUUUUAUAAGAUUUACAAAUUGUUAUAAGAGUCUAUAUAUCAUUUAUUAAAAGUAUACAAAAUCAUUUAUAAGAAUUUUAAAAUUAUUUAUAAAAAUUUAACAAAUCAUUUAUAACAAUGUCUGCAUAGACUUAUAAUCAAAUAAAUAUACGUUUUAUAAGAAGUUAUAAAUCUACAAACAUGUAAUCUCUUCGUUUCAUUUUAAUUGUGGAGGCUUAUGUACACCGAAUAAGAAAAUAUUUAAUUUUGCAUAUUUUUAAAAUAAAAAACACCAUUAUUUAUACACCUAACCAUAUUUUAACCAAUAUAAAAAUAAUCUGGAGAAUAUUAUUAAUAAAUUUUGCUUUAAAUUCUAAAGCAACACUUAUUUUGAAACGAAAAUUUUACUCUACAACAAAAAUUAAACUGAAACGGAGGAAGUAUUAUUACACAUGACUUGAUAUUUUAUGUAAAAUUUAUUAAAGGUUUCAAAUAAAAUAAUUUUAGAUUUAUAAACACUUACGCUCAUAGAAAACGGAACAAAGUUAACAUGCAAUGUUUAAUAGAAUGUUAAAAGCUACUAAAUAAAAAAAAAAGAAUAUUUCUACUUUUAUGUUCGGACAAAAUAUCAUAAAGAAGUAAAAUAUGAAAGAUGCGGAGAAAACUUCAAAGUUUUACUGCAAAUGGUGGUUCAGUUUUGAUAAACCUGACCUGGUAUUCUUUUACGUUACAAACCGUGUAUUAUUUUACCCAACCUCACAUGCAGUAAAAACUAAAAUGAAUAAGUCUUCGGUAACUUGUUCAUAUUCAAAGAUUUAUUUCUUAUUAAUUCACAACACAAAAAAAAAAAAAUUAAAAAAAUACAUAUUAUAUAUUCUUCAGGUCACCAGGAGACAUAAUUUACAUAGGAUAUAAAAUGUUUCAGAUCAAGAAACAAAAAACUUGGUAGUGGCUUUUGCUCAUAGAUUAAACUGUGUCUCAUUCCUUCAAAGAGAACAUCGCUUCCUAGACUGAUAUAUAUAUAUAUAUAUGUUUUCUUUUACAUUCGUAGAGUGAGAAGAAUACUGAACCAAUUUUACGGGUAGUUCAAUCACAAUAAUUAGGAGACGUAUGCCACUUUACUCCCUUUGUUUAUGAUUUUUCAGAAGGAAGUAAUCGCUGGUUGGCUUCUUAGGUAUCUUCUUUAGUAAGUCCCAUUGGUUUAUUUUUAGAUACACAACCUCUUUGUCUGCUGCAUUUAUAAGAUGCUGCUCUGAUCUUUCUUCAUCAUCUACACUGAAUAUGGCUCAUGAAAAACGUACUUAAUUAGGACUUAGGAGCCUACCAAAGAAUUAAAGGCGUCUGAGAAGAGCUAGCAAUGAUGAAACUGUAAAAGUGAGUAGGACAAUGAAGCAUAACCUGUUUGCAAACUAAGUAGUGAAGCUCAUAUGGGGAAAUACCACCUUGCCUCGGCUUAGUGAAUACAUCAUUGCAUGACCUCAUGAGGUGUGGAAGGUUGCAGUCUCUACUAACUCUGAAAAUAGGAAAACAAAUUUCUAAAUGAUAAAACAAUCUUCCAAGUGUAUGAAAACAUAAAUUGAUUAAAUCUUUUUAUUUUUGUGACACGGAUGUCAAGUGUAGUUAGCUAGCCUAUGAUGGGUUUUGGCAACGCCUAUCAUGUUAAGAAAGUGGCUGAAGGCACGAGCCAGUGUCAGUGCUUCCUCUAGCAACAUGUUUGAUAUUUCAAAAGUGUAGUUGCGUCUCCAAAAGCUCCGUCGUGUCUUCAAUACUAGCCAGACAAAUAUUUAACGCACUCUGAAAGGUAACGCCAAACAAAAAAUAGUAUCAUCACAAGGAUUUUUACUCUUUAUAUUAUAUAUAUGCAGUGAAAACACUUGGUUGUAAGAUUCCACAAUCCAGUCUCCAGCUAUGAAAUAGUAAUACACAAACGCAUAAUUCCAUACUCUACAGCUAAAACAAAUCCAUCCAAAAAUCUAUCAAACAAACAGUUUUCUUCUAGCCUUCUUAUUCCUAAACAAUUAUUGCUAGUAUAAAACAAUCACAAACAUGCUAUACUUUAGGGUGAUCAUGUAUUUUCCUGCAAACGCAAGCAAUUAGAGAAAGACUACUAUAUGUUUUCAUUUCCUUUUAGAACAUACUGAUCACAGACUAAACAUUUCAUUUUCCCCAUUAUUAAUUCUACCGAAGGAUUAGAGGAGAAAGUUACGGCUUUUCGAACAAAAGACAACAUAAAAUCACAUAGAACAUCAAGUAGGCCUGCAAUUUAGCAAAAAAUAUUGUAAGGACUGUUGUGAGAUAAGCUUAACUUCUUUGUUGGAUCGUGGCCUUUCUGUUGAAUUUUUUUAAUUAAAAUAAUUUUAUCACUAUAAAUUAUAUGCAAAUCAAAGAACAUUAAUACUAUAUGUGCUUUUGAAUUACUCCAUCUCAGUCUUAAAAAUCUUAAACAUGAGAUAAUCAUGUGGACACAUUGAUACCAAACAUUGGCUGUCUUAACAAAAACUACACAUCAUGGAUGGGACAAUGUGCUUACCUCUUUGGUUAAUUGAGAUGGAGAAUAGCACCAUCUGAAGGAUAUACAAUAUUACAUUGGUGAGGCUACAAUCGUAAGCUAAUUAAUAGUAUCAAAAUCAUUAAAAUCUGUAGAAUCCAAUUUAAAAUUCUGCUCCAAAAACAAUACCUCAGAAGAUUCCCAUAUUCUAUUAUUGCGGUUCACCCUGUGGAGCAAUUUUUUUUGGUGAUUCUCCUUGUUCUGUGAAAAACAUCAAAAGAAACUAAUCAUCAGUAUUUGCAUAUCUCAAUAGAUCAUGAUCAUCAUCAUAAUCACCUAGAACAAAUUCCAAAUAUGAUCCAAUCCGGAGAUGAAAACGCAAAAUAUUACCUUUGAGCAGACCAUCUUCGAAAGAGAUUUAAUGUUCCAACCCAAAGAUUAGGAAUUUAAGCUGUGUAAUGGAAGAGAUCAGAUCGUCAGAACGCAAUCGAGAGAUCUUUGCUAAUUUUCAAUGGAAUCGAUGAAACUCUUGAGUUCCCGAUAAACAGGAGUAUCAAAGGAAUGCUUCCAAGCAGAGUCCUUCACUGGUAGAGACACCACCCAAUAGCUCGAAGUCACUAAUUUUCUAUCUCUUUGGUGGAGACCAUCUUCUUCUCCGAUGUAUAACUCCUUCAAUCAAAAGAGACAACCGACUACUGAGAGAGAGGGGAUGUGGAAGAGUUAACUGUUUGCGUUUUAGAUCUAGAUUUCGAAACAGACAAAAAAAAGAAUGAGGGUUGAUCUUCGACUGUGGAGGAUGUAGAUUUUGGUAAAUUGCUUAACCAACAAAGAAUUUAUAUAGGUGUAAAACAAAUGAGAAGUGGAAGGGUACAUCUGACAUAAAUGAAGGAGUUAAGAACAUGGAUCAAUCAUUCAGAGUGGGUGUUGGUUAUUGCAAAGUAGCUGAGAGCUGAGGAGAGUGGAAACGAUCGUGAUGGAGAAGAAGAGUCGGAGCCGAAGGAGAGAGGUAGGUUUGAUAUGGGCCAUAACCAAAACUGUAGAGCCCAUAUAAUUCGACCCAAUUGCUAGUGUCGAGUAAUGACAUGACAUAAUAGAUGCAUAUGAUUGGCUGAUUUUUAAUGCCGACGUGGACCUUCUCUUUGUUGAGCUUAUUCUCCUUUUAUUAUUGUUAGAUUGUUGUUUCUUUUGAGUAAUGGAGUUAACUCCCCGAGCCGUCUCUUUCUGUAUCUCCAGGCAACUUGAAUCUGCGUAGCUGCUCGUACCCUGCAAUAAGGAAGGAAACUCAUGCCUUAUGGCUCCUUCGUGUAGAAUUUCGAGAACAAGAUCGUUAAGGUCUGCUAGACUCAGCAAUAACCAAAAAAGCUAGGGCAUAACGGAAAAAAUCAAGUUUCCCGGAAGUUGAAGAAGAGGCGUUUGCCAGUUGAGAAGAAAGAAGGAAGGGGACUACGAGUCUAUGACUGAGUCAAUGUCUUCUCUCCUCAUCAUGCAAGUUGUAGUCCAUAAUUAAAAUUUUGUGAAGCCAAGACACGUGACCACGUCUGCAACAAUUUUUUUGUUCUUUCAUUGUCGUCAAGGUCCUUUUUUGGUAGUAUAUAAGAAACGGUAAUAUCACUAACUUCAGUUUCUUCUAAUCUGGGGAAAUUAGAACGUUAUUACAACUAAUUAACGUUGAAAAAAAACUAAUUAACGUUUUCGCUACAAUCGUCCAGACGUGGUUGCUGCGUGCUUCAUAAUAAAGUAAAGAUCGUGGAAAGUUUCGAAUAUUCAGAGAAUAAAAAAAGGACUACUUCCCCAAAGUCAAGAUCAAGAAAUCGAACCUUCCGAGAAACUCAACAUCUUUCACGUGUCAGCAUGCCAUUUGUUAUCUGACAUAACACUUAUCAACAUUGUCAUACUAAUUCCCUAUUAUACCCCUAAAUCUUGUAAUUGUUAGUAUGUUACUGAGUCAACAAACUUCUUAUUUACCUCUCGUAAAGGGUAAAGUCGUACUUCAAUUAUUUCCUUCCAUACGCGUAAUGUACUCGGUUAGGCGCGUGCACUUCCUACAUGCGCUACUCUCAUCACCUCUAUAAACCCAAAGAAAAAAAAAAAAAUCAAAACCAAACUUCACAUCUUCUUCUUCUUCUUCUUCUUCUUCACUUUACCAAAUAGCAUCUCUGUUUAAAAAAGAAAUCGCAUCAAUGAAUCAGAAUAUUAAAGAACUAUCACUGGAUUCCUUACCAGUGGGAUUGAGAUUCCGUCCAACGGACGAGGAGCUAGUCCGUUACUAUCUCCGCAGGAAAAUAAACGGUCACGAUGACGACGUCAAAGCCAUUCGAGAGAUCGAUAUCUGCAAAUGCGAACCUUGGGAUCUACCUGGUACACCUAACUUUCUUCUUCUUCUUGAAUUGAUUCAAAUUUUAGUAGUGUGUGGACGAAAUCAAAGCUUUUGGUGUUGUAGAUUUUUCAGCGAUCAAAACAAAAGAUUCAGAGUGGCUCUUCUUCUGCCCAUUGGACCGGAAGUACCCUAACGGAAGUAGACAGAACCGGUCAACGAUCGCAGGCCAUUGGAAGGCCACAGGAAAAGACCGGAAGAUCAAAUCCGGCAAGAACAACGUUAUCGGCCUGAAGAGAACCCUGGUUUUCCACUCUGGUCGUGCUCCUAAGGGAACGCGAACGAACUGGGUUAUGCACGAGUAUCGCGCCACCGAGCAGGACCUGAGUGGCACCAGCCCUGGACAGGUAAUUAAAUGUAGAGGUGUAAUAAGUAACCUGUGAUAAACCAAACUGGUUAUGUUAGUGACUUAAUGAUGUGUUGGUUUUGAUAAAUGCAGAAUCCGUUUGUUAUAUGCAAAUUAUUCAAGAAACAAGACCCGAGUUUAGUGGAUGAAGCUGCCUCGUCUCCAACAUCUUCCCCAGAUGAGACUAAAGCGGUCGCUAAAGCACAAGGGGUGAAGCCUGAGUCUUCUCUUGUGAUCUCGGGUGAUUCUCAUAAUGGUGCUUGCAGAGAGGCUACAACCUCCAAGGUGAGAGAGAUCACUGCAUAGUUUUCUUCUUAACUCAUCGUCAUUGCUUCGGUUUUGUAAACUAAACGACAUUUUUAUUUUGAUGUGUCACAGCUUGGAGAUCUUGAUUGGCUGUCUUUUCCAGAGCUGGAGUCCCUGACAGUGUUCUCUCCAUUACACGAGCUUGGAUCCUCCUCUUUCAACGCAUUUCUUCAGCCUAGCUCUAGUGACUUCUCUGGGAACCAUGACAACACCUUCCGGAUUCAGACUCAGUACCGUACAAACGAAGAAAUACAGAUGUAUCCCGCUUUCUCAAUUCGGUUCUUGAUUUCCAAGACGAUUUAGAGGAUCAAGACUUUGUUUUCCCGUCUGAGUUCGACGGUGCAGUGCCAGAUCAGGUUCGAAACUCAUAACUUCAUUUUGUGUUGUUCAUUAAGAAAACAGUAUCUCUAACUAACUCUUAUUAAUAUAUAUAUAUAUAUAUAUAUAUAUAUAUAUAUAAUUCGUUGCAGACUGUACCAGCGUAUCAGCAACAGCGCUCGGCAGGUGACAUGAGCGAUGAUGUUUCAAGAACUGGUAUCAAGUUACAGCCUCGGCGCUCAGGUUGUUCCACUGACUAUAUAAUCCAUGGAAAUGCCGCAAGAAGGCUACGUCUGCAAAUUAUCAAGAGAGAAGAGGUGAGAACAACAACCAUUUUCACAUGAAUUAAUACUCUGAGAAUAGUACGGUAACAAAUGAAUGGUACUACACAGGUUGAGGAUACGGACGGGGAAGCUUUAAAGAAGGGGAAGCUAAUGAGAUCAAAGAACAGAACAGGAUUCUUGUAUAAGAAGAUUAUGUCCGUGAGAUGUUCAUACGGAGGACUUUUUAGGGCGGCCGUUGUUGCGGUCCUGUUCUUGAUAUCAGUCUGCAGUCUAACCACAGACUUCAGAGCUUCGGUGUUGAUCUGAAAACUGGAAAACCUUGUUGUGUAUAUACUAUAUAGUGGUUCCUUUUUUCUUUGUUGCAUGUUGUUGUUGUUGGUUUCGGUUUUCUCCUUAUCCGGGGCCAGUUUAUGAGGGUAACUUGCGUAUACUGUAUAAUGUAAUGGCUACUUCUCGACUUUGUAUCAGCAGUAUUCUUAAAUAUUUAAGGAUUUUGUUUUUAACAAGUCUAUUUUUUUUUCAUUUUGACAUGCAUCUGUGGAAUUUCACAGAUACUUCAAACUUUAUUAAUAUAACUAGUUUGGAUGUGCUUUGUGUUCUUCUGAAACUCUCUAUGUUUUGAUGGGGAAAUAAACUGCUUGCCCUUUACUAUCUACACAGCUCAGCUACUUGGCUUUUCUUCUGGUUAUGUAUUUUGAUAUUCUAUACGAAAUUGGUUUGGCGUUUGAUUUACAUGUGAGACAAAAGAAAGUAUGUGUUUUCGUGGACUAUGUGCAGUGAUCAAAAUUUUAAAUUUAAUUAUAUUUAAAAAUAGAAAUUUAUUAUUAUUGUAGAUUUUCUUAUUUUUAACUAAUAUUUUAAUACAUAUUUUGAUUUAAUUGAAGAUUAAAUUAAGAUAAUUAAAUUAUAUUUAAGAUUAUAAUCUUAGAAAGACUUUUUUUAUUUAUUUCUUUUGGAAAAAAUAUAUAAAAUCAACUUGUAUAAAAUUAAUAAAAAAUUGAUAUAAAAGUUUUAUAAUUAUCAAAAAGUAAAACUAAACAGUAGUUCUAAAAUUUGUAGAUAUAUUACGAUUAAAAUUUAUAAUUUAGAAAACUGUAAAAAAAAUUGAAAAUCUUUUUAGUAAUAAAUUGUGUAAUUAUAAAUAAUAAUAUUUCGAAAUUUGUAAAUUAUUAUUAUAUUAUCUAAUGUCUUAUUUGAAUAGAUAUAAUUUAACGAUGAUAUAUAAUUUAUUACAAUAUUCUACAAAGAUUAUCAAAAUUUUAAUUAAUCAUUAAAUGUAGUUGUCCAUGUCACAUUUAAUCAUAAGUCAUUUCAUCAAUUCUAGCAUGUCAUGUCGCAUUUAUUUAGUGAAAUUGAUUGUAAAGAUAACAUGUGUCAAAAUUACUUUGUAAAAAAAUGUCUAAGGGAUGAAGAUGUGAAUAUGUUUUUUUUUUUCAUUUUUUCAUACAUUUGGGUUGAUUAAGGAAAAAUAUUCUAAUGAAGAUCUUUUUUUUUACAACAAUAAACUACUAUAAAAGGAAACAUGUCUAUCAAUUUAUACUAUUAUUUGCGAAGUUAUUUUCUUGCAGUAGAUCUCACACAUUAAAAGUUAGAGCGUUUAAAGUCAAUGAUACCUUUAAUAAAUUUUAUGUAUAAUUUAUUACAUAAUUUUUAUUAAAGAGUAAAUAUAUUUUUAAAUAAGUUUUUAUUGAAGAGUGCUCACAAAAAAAAAAGUUUUAUUAAAGAGUAAAUAUAUUUUUAUAUUUCUAGAGUUAACUAAACCUACACUUUAAGUUUAGAGUUAAUGGAUGGGUUUUGAGAAUGCAUUUUAAAAAUUUUAAAAAUAUAUAAUAAAUAUUUAAAUUUAAUUUGUUUUUCAAAUAGUUUCAAAAGGCAUUUUCGAAAUUCAAAAAGAAAUUUUUAAAUUUUUUUUUUGCAAAAAUCUAAAAAAUCUAAAAAAUCGAAUUUGAAAACAUAUAAUCUGAAAUUCUAAUUUUUUUUAUUUUUAAAUUACUUUAUUAUAUAUAUAUAUAUAUAUAUAUAUAUAAAGUGAGAGGUAUAAUGAUUUUUUACCUCUUUAGUAAAAUCUAUUUUGAUCAUUUUUCUUUUUUAGAGUUUUUUUUUUUUUGUGACAAAAAUUUGGAAAAAAAAGUUAUUUGAGAGAUUUUCUCUAAUUCUUAUGUAUUGAGUUGUUAUCUGGAAAUAAUAUUUUUCUAUUAUAAAAGUAAAACAAUCAAGAUAUAAAACAUCUUUUAAAUUAAAUUAAUUAAGAUAAUUACAUGGUUUCACUGGGCCAUAAAACGGCCCACUAAGAAACUUACAAUGUUUACUAACUAAGUACGAUAUCCACGGCACUUAGCUGCAGAGACGCUUUUUUCUUCUAUCACACCAGACGCUUCUGGGGGGGAGAGAAAAAGGAUGGCAGAUGGCUACGGCUACGGCUACGGCGGUUUCUCUGGAGUACCGUACCCGAUCUUUCUUACUUCUCCGUCUCCUCAUCCUCCAACUUCUGCGCCGCCGAUCCAACCUUUUGAGUCCUCCUAUGAUCCAACCCAAGGAGGGUUUGAUCCGAUGAUUUCUCAUGGCUCUUAUCACCGAUCGCCGGCUGAUUGGUCCAAUUAUCCAUCGUAUGGUGAUAAAUCUCGCUCUCAGACGCCUUCUUCAUCCUUUGGUAUAUAUCUUAAUCCCCUUUUGAAAUCAUAUUUGGGGGUUUAACUGUUUAGUGUUUAAAUGUUACUGUGAUAGGUUUCGAGGAGAGAGAUCUAAUGUUUGCUAUUUAAUUUGAUGUUAUCGGCUUUAGAAUUUUCACCCGCCAUGUUUGUUUUUGAUUCAGUACAUGCUAAUGUUUCGUCUCACUCUGCUCUGGUUAAUUAUGAUAUGACAAUGAUCUUGGAUUACAGAAAAAGAUGAUGAGUUUAUUGUGUAUUGGAUCAUUGGUUCUUCGUGAAACACAUUGAUCUUUUUUUUUCGUUAAUGUUGACCUGAAUGUUUUAGUUCUUUGUUCGAAGAUUUAACGCAGUACGGAUUUGUGUUCUUGCAGGAAACCUUGGUCCCAGGGCUGAAGAUUCUCAUAAAGACUUGUUCUCGCCGAGUGGAUUUAACCCUUCAAGGGGAUCACCAUCUGAUGCUGUUCCAUUUCCCACUGAUAAUCAACGCUAUGAGUGGGUGCCUUAUACCUCAGCUUCUUUAGCAGAUAUGCUUAUCAGAAAUUCCCAGGAACCGUUCUAUAAGCCUAUUCCCCCUUCUGGUGUUAAUGCUUCUAGCAAUGCUUUUGUUGAUAAACGUCCUGGAUAUUACCAUCAUGGCUAUGAUAAACCUGAGAGUAUGAAUACUCCCCCUGGUCUUUCCAUGGAGCCUUGCGUACCUGUUCCGUCGUUACCAGUGUCUAGCAUGAAAACGGAAGCUCUCUUUGAUGGAAGUCAGACUGGAAUUCGUGUAGGAGAUGGGAGAUCAUUCUUCGGUGAUGCGCCUGAGAAUAUUCAGUCCAGCUUGCACGGUUCUUCUGUUGAACCGGUGAAUUUCGACGUGUUGCUUGGAUAUGGUGAAGCCACUGGUCAUGUCAAGCCUUUGUCCGAUAAGACUGUUGGCUCGCCUAGUUCAAGGAGUCUCCGUUCUUCCAACCCUCUACAUUUCAAUGUCGAGUCCUCGGGUUCACUGUUCAAGGAAAAACGAGAAGGUAGUGGUGUCUCCUCCCUUUAUCAGAUGCCGAAUACUUUUGUCGCUGACAUUGAGAAUGGUAUUUCUGAGAGCUCUUUGAAGAAUGCGAUUGAUGAUUUGUAUUGCAAAGAGCAUAGAUCCUGGAGCCACUUCAGGGUAUCUUCUGAGGGACCUUCAGCUCCUACUGGAAGUGAGCCGUGUGGUGCAAUGAAAGCGGAUAAUGGCUAUAAAACCCCUUCCGAAGGUAGUGCUAAUCAACCUAGUGAAGAUGUUCAAGCCAGUGCAAAGACAUGUAAGCUCCAGGAACAACUGCUUGAUACGAUGAAUAGAGCUAAGAAGACCAGUUUGUUGACAGACGUUUGUAUCAAAGGGAGUAGUAGAUCGGAUGGAGAUGAUGUCUCAACUGGCCGAUCACCUGAAAAGCAUUUAAGUGAUGAAGGAGAUUUCCCAUCCCCGCCUUCUUCUCCAAGAGUUUCUUCCGUGAUUAAUGCCUUGCAUAAUCUGUCAGAAGUGCUUGUUUACGAAUGCUUCAACAAUGGGAGCUGGCUGAUGCCGGAACAACUUGAGAACCUUGAUAAAGUAGUAGAGAAUCUCACCAAGUGCUUAAAGAAAAUCACCAGUAACAAGACAAUAGCAGGGGAAGCAUCAGUUCCAACUCCAGCUAUGAAUGUAUCCUGUCCAAACGUGGUUGAUCUUAAUGAGGUAUGUGAUGCAGCUCGACCCUGACAUUUGUGAAUUAUAUCGUAGGUGGAAGUUAAAAAGAUACUUAUUUGCAUGUUCUAUGAGCGGAUCAUUUAUUUCUUAUGAGUCGUGAUAACUUGAGUUUUCACAUGAGAAUAGGUAAAUCUUGAUCUUGUUUGCUAUUAGUUGCUUAAGAAUACACGUUUCAGGCCCCAAAUGUAGCUGCUAAAGACUGUCAAGGAUUUAAUGUCAAGCCACUAGACAGCGUUGGACUCAAAGAACCGGUGGAUAAGGAUACGACUGAGAUGACCCAGGUAUUUUUACUUGCAUAAUAUUUGUGCAAUAUUUGUGAACUCUUCUUAUAUACGGAUUCUUAACUUUGCAGAGUAUUAAGAACAUACUUGCUUCCAACUUUCCUGAUGGUGAAGAAUGCCACCCACAAACUCUCUUGUACAAGAAUCUCUGGCUCGAAACUGAAGCUGCCUUAUGUUCCUCGACUUGCAUGGCUCGCUACCAUCGUAUCAAGAACGAGAUUGAUAGUCUCAAGUUGCAGAAUAGUGGUUAAUAACUUUAUAACUUACUCUGCACAUUAUCUUGCGAGUACGCUUCAAAAGUAUUUGUUUUAACUGUUCAUCUGUUGCUUUUUUACAGAGGUCUCUGCAGAUGUAUCAACCUUUAUGCAGGAACAGGAGACGACUGAAUCACUCAUCAAACACGGAAGCCAUGGUGGGAACAAUGUAGUAACAACUAGUCGUGACGCAUCACAAAGCCUUAUAUUCAACUCUAAUCCCGUGGAUGCAGUACUUUCACUUAUGUCCAGAAGCUUUACCGAAAAGGAAAAUCAUAGGAACGUCAAGCCUGAUGCUCAGAAACUGGACACUGUACGGCAGGAUUGGCAUGCAUCCACAACAGAGGAAAAAUACGAUGAUGUUAUAGACCGGUUUCAGAUUCUGAAGCUUCUGGAAACGAAGCGCAAACUCAAAUCUCAGAUCAGCCCGGAUUCAGAUAUUGGUGUUAUGGACAGGCUUCAGAUUCUGAGGCCGCAGGAAACAGAUUGCAAACUCAAUUCUCAGAACUUCACAGAGACGAGAGAGGAUAAUCCAGAUCAUCAACCUUCGGAGAUGGCUAAAGUUGGCAGAAGCAGCCAUGUGACUGAUGUGAUGGAUAGAUUUCAGAUACUAAAACGCCGAGAAGCUGAGCAAGUUCAGAAGUCUCUCGACAGCUUGGACACAGAUUCAGAUUCAGAAGACGAUCAGCCAAGAAACAAGACGCAAAUUUGUGAUCACCUCUGGCCAGACUCGAUGAUGACAGUAGGUAGAGAUUCACAGAACGAGAUGCACGUCGGUGCUGAACCAUCUGGAUACUCGGACUGGGAACAUGUCCUCAGGGAUGAUUGAUUACUGGAACUUCCUUGGACAAGCAGUUUCGAUCCUUUUUAAUUGCUUUGUUUGUGUAUAAAUAAAACGGCUUUGUGUGACUGACAUUAAAUGAAACUGUGUGGAGUGGUAUUUACUGUCUUUAAAUUUGAUGUGUUGUUCCUAUCUAAGUUUUACAAAGCAAGAGGGAGGGAGAUUCAUUAUUGCACUAACAAUGUCUCCAUCGACACCCUUGAGUGCCAUGACAGAGCUUUGCUGCGUGAACUCCAGCCUGAGUGAAGACCAAGUCACACAUGAUAUCAUCAUAGGCAAGGCAAUGUUGCAUUAAAGCGUUGAAUUGUUUCCUGUUUCGUUUGCCAAGAAUGGCGUCUCUGAUCACAAGUUUGAUUUCUGAUUCCAUGCAUCGUAGCAACCUUAAUUUAAGAAGUUGGGCCAUAACCUAAGAACAUUGUAGUAUAUAUAUAUUAUUGACCAGUUCCUCCUUACCAACAUUAUUAUAGAAAAAGAAGUUGCUCUCAAUAGGUUGUCCACCAUGAGAAAACAGCAGAAGCAUGUCUCAAAGACGGCGGAUCCCAAAACUUGAUCUUCUUCGACAUCAGUUGAGAAUUCAGAGUCGAUCCCAGCUGAUCUCAUCGUUGAGAUUUUCUCGAGGCUAACCGCAAAAUCUCUAUCGAGAUUUCGUUGCUUGUCCAGGGAAUGGGCUUCUAUUUUCUGUAGUAGAAACUUCACCCAUUCGUUCUUGACGAGGUCUUCCGCACGUCCGCGUCUCUUGUUCACGUUCUAUGUUGACGGUAAGUUGUUUUCCUACUCGGCACCUCAACCUCGAAAUCCAGACCAGGACUUAUCUCAUGUAGUUGUCGAUAAUCAUAUGCCUAUCCCGACCAGAAUGGGGUCCUUUCUGAUACAUCGCCCUGUCAGUGGCUUGAUUUGUCCUAGUGAAUUGUGGUCAAAACGUGGAUGUAAUGAUUCAAAGAUGAUGAUGAUAUGUAACCCUAGCACAGGACAGUUCAAAAAAUUACCUGCAGCGAGAACAAGAAGGGUUCAUGUGAGAACCUACUUAGGGUAUGAUCCCAUAAAAAAGGAGUAUAAGGUACUGUGCAUGUCGCUUUAUAGAACAUACCCUAAAAUCUCUGAGGAGCAUCAAGUUUUGACGUUAGGAACAGGAAAACUGUUUUGGAGAACGAUUGAGUGUUCCCUAGCUAAAACGAUGCCCUGAGAGUGGUGGGAUAUGUAUCAAUGGAGUUUUGUAUUAUUCAGCCUAUCAAGACAACUGGUUUGGAGUUGUACAAAAUUUUAUUGUUAUUUGCUUUGAUGUUAGUUCUGAAAAGUUCAAAUCUCUGGAAAUAAAUUUAACUUGCUCUUCAACCCUGAUAAAUUACAAGGGUAGAUUAGGUGCGAUUCAAUUUGAUUCGGUUGGUUUUUACAGUGGAAGAACUACAAGUCUUGGUUUGAUGGUUCUAGAUGAUGCUGAACAACAUAAAUGGUCGAAGAAAACCUACAUAUUGCCACCCUUUUGGAAAAAUCUUGGUGUGGAUACUAGGUUAAAUGUUGUCGGGAUGACUGGUGACAGUGAAAUUGUGUUUUCACCCUCCAUUCUUUCUGAUCCUUUCUAUAUUUUCUACUACAAUGCGGAGAGAAACACCACCGUGAAAGUUAGGAUCCAGGGAAUUGAUUUUGUUAAGAAUCAAUACAUUUACACCUUCAUAGACCACGCUGAGGAUGUAAAGCCUAUGUAAGUGCUAGGCUUUUAAGGUUUCAUCAGCUACGGAGAAAAAAAGAAAGAAGGUAUUGAUGUCCAUCUUUCAAUCCAGUUAUAAGCUUAUUGAUAUAUGUACUAACAAUUAUAAACACUAAUAUAUGCUCGUAACAAUUAUUUUCUUAAGGAUUGAUUGUAUUUUUCCAUGGCCAAGGAAGAGAUUGAUUAACUAUAAGCUUGAUUUGCUUUUUGUACUUUCUUUUCUCUUUGUUUAAAAUCAUCUUGGUGUUUUGCCCGCACAUGCGGGUAGAAUCUUCUUAUUAGUUUUUGUCUUACUAAUUUAAAACCAACAUAAUAAGUUUUUAUUUAUGUUUUCAAAUAGUUAAAUCAAACAUCAAAAUAUCGAUAUAUGCUAAAUAUUUUUUCAUAGAUCAAACAUCAAAAUAUAUGUUAAAAAAUACUCAUAUCUUAGAAAUAGUUUAGAAAAUAUCUUUAUAUAAAUAUUUUUUUCUUGACUAAUACUGUAUUCAACUAGGAGUUUUGCCCGCACAUGUGGGCAUAGUUAUUUAAUAAAUAUUUAUUAAUAAAUAUAUUAUUAGUUUAAAGAUCAAAAAAAUUAAAUAAAACAUUAAAUUUAUACUAUUUUAUGAAUCUUUCAAUUUCUUAAUUUCUUAAUUUUUAUUGAUUUAAAAACAUUAAUUUGGAUAACAACACUAAUAUCUUGUAAAUAUGUUGGUAUCUUGAACAAAUUUUUAUUAUAUUAAUUUAUAAACAAUGAUAUAAUUAAAUAAACAAAUAUAUAAUUGUUAAUAUAAAGUGAUGUUAUUAAACCAAAUUCUAGGAAUUAGCAUAACCUACAAAAUCUCAAAAUAAAUCAAAAGCACAAGAAUGUUAAACCAAACUCAGCUUUACAUAUUAUAUUAGUCAAAGUAAAUAAGAAUAUUGAUAUAUGUAUAAUUAUAUUGUGAAAUACUUCCUAUAAUAAUUGAAUAAACACUCAAGCAGAACAACUACGUUGACAAACAAAACAUUAAUAUGUAAUGUAUAUUUGAGAAAAUUUUAAUUUAAACAAAGUUAUAAUUCUUUAAAACUAUUGAAAAAUUAAAAGAAAAUAAAGUAAAUUUUAAAUUUUCAUAAAUAUAAGGUACUUGUUGUAAAAAACAAUAUCUUGAAAAUAUUCUUUUUUGAAAGUUAUUCUUACAACUGGAUGAUAACAAUAAAUAUUUAAUAAAAAUAAAAACAAAGAAAUAUUAAAUUUUUAACUUAAAUAACAAAUACAAGUUAUUCUUGCAACUGAAUGAUACUAAUAAAAUUGAAAACAUCACGAAAAAUCACGUUAACAAACAAAUAUAAAUCAAAUUUAUUGUUAUUGUUUAUAUACUUCUUUUUAGUAUUUUAAUACUAAAAUAAAUUUAUUAAGUUUUAAAAAUAUGCCAUGACAUGGCAUAUUAUGUUUACAAACAAAUAUAAAUAAAUUUUUGUUAUUUUUUAUAAAACUAUUUAUAAUAUUUUAGUAUAAUGAUAAAUCUAAUUAUGAUAUGUGUAUAUAUAAUACUAAUUAUAAAAAUAAAUAAAUAAGAAAUAAAGAUGUAGAUAAACACAAAAUAAAUACAUGGAAUUAUCUUCUUCUUUUUUCAAAAACGUUUUUCAUUUAUUUUUGAGAUAUUUUUAUAAUAUUAGUUUUUAAUCAGUUAAAUAAUGAAUUAUAUAAUUUAUUUAUUAGAUAUUAAAACUUUAAUUAGUCAAAUUAAAAUUAAAAUUGUUUAAUGACUAAGCCUAAAAUCAUGGAGAACAUGACAAAUAAGCAAAUUCACUUCUCAAAUAAUAGUAUAAGUUAUAAAUUAUUUGGUAUCUUAAUUUUUUAACUGUUAUAAUAAAAAUAUUGUUUCCAGAUAGCUACACAAUAUAUAUAUAACUUAUCUUAUUUUUAAUAUGUUUUUUGAUAAUUAUAUUAUAUUAUUUUAUAAUAAAAUAUUUAAUAUAACAUAUAAAUUUAAUAUUAUUAAAUAAAAGUCGCUUCUAAUUAUAUAUAAAACUCAUUAAGGGUAUUGUUUAAAUUAAUAAAUUAGUGAAUAAGUUAGAAACUAAUAAUAAAUCAAUAACCCAACUAAAAGUAUAAAACCUAAUAAAAAUAUGACAAAUAAGAAAAAUUAACUAAAUAUUUAAUAUAAAAUAUAAAUUAAUAUUAUUAAAAUAAAAUUCGUUUAAAUUAUAUAUAAGAUUCAAUAAGGGUAUUUUCUUAAAUUAAUAAAUUAGUAACUCAACUAAAACCUAAUAAUAAAUCAAUGGUUUAGCUAAAACCUAAUAAAAACAUGAUAUAUAAGUCCAAUGUAGAUUAGAUCGAGCAGUAGGCAAUGAAGACUGGCACCACAAUUUUUCCCACUCGAAUGUGGAGUAUCUCAGGCUUUGGGGGAAGUGAUCAUCGUCCCAUCUUCACCCGAUUUCUAUCCAUAAAGAAGCAGGACAAGAGAGCUUUUAAAUUUGAUAAGAGAUGGCUAGGCAAAAAUGGCUUUCGCGAUUCUAUUCUCCAAGGUUGGAAUGACCCAUCUCUCUUUAGCAAGGAGGACCUUCACGCACGGAUAGCUCACUGCCGUAAAUUUAUUUCUCGCUGGAAGCGCGCCAACCCAUCAAACGCAAAGCAAAAAAUAGAGGAAAUCAAGGACCAACUCGAACAAGCGCAAGUAGAUGAUAAUUUCACGCAGGAAGCUAUCCUAACCUUCAAGUGGAACCUCUGUACCGCCUUUAGAGAUGAGGAGCUCUAUUGGAAGCAAAAAAGUCGAGCUAACUGGCUCAGAGAAGGAGAUCAGAAUACUAAGUUCUUCCAUGCUACCACAAAGCAGCGAAGAGCCAGAAACCGGGUGACAAAACUUCGUAGGCCGAGUGGUACCUGGGCAGAAACGGAAGAAGAUAUCGAGGAGGUAGCGACAGGAUACUUCCAAACCCUUUUCACCUCGUCGGAACCCUCUGAUUUUGCUGAAUCCCUAAGAUACAUUACAGAGAAGGUUACCCCGGCCAUGAACGAAGCUCUGACUAAACCUCCAUUAGAUGAUGAGAUCCGCAAAGCUGUGUAUGACAUUAACCCAGACAAAGCACCUGGCCCUGAUGGAAUGACAUGCCUAUUUUUCCAGAAGUACUGGGGUAUCACAGCAGAGGUGAUGUGCCAAACGGUGAAAGACUUCUUCCAGCACAACGUUUUAGAUCCCCGUUUGAACCAGACAAACAUAUGCCUCAUCCCAAAGACCGAUCGUCCUUGUGAAAUGUCACAAUUCCGACCAAUCAGCCUAUGCAAUGUAAGCUAUAAGAUCAUCUCCAAAAUCCUUAGUAAACGCCUCAAGCGCUGUCUGUCCAGCCUAAUUUCGGAAACUCAAUCAGCCUUUGUGGCUAGGCGGUUGAUUACAGACAAAAUUCUGGUAGCACACGAAGUCUUUCAUGCCGGAGAACAAACCCGAGCUGUAAAGCUAAAUUUGUUGCAAUCAAAACGGAUAUGAGCAAAGCUUUCGACAGAGUUGAAUGGUUCUUUCUUGAAGCACUCCUACUCAAGCUGGGUUUCUCGCCUAAAUGGGUAUCGUGGAUAAAAUUAUGUAUCUCCUCAGUGUCUUACCAGGUACUACUAAAUGGAGAACCAAAAGGCAGCAUCCACCCCUCAAGAGGCAUUCGACAAGGCGACCCGCUCUCCCCUUUCCUUUUCAUCAUCCUCACAGAAGCUCUUAUUUCCAGAUUCAAGGAGCGGAAAGGGAAGGAAGAAUCACGGGCCUGAAAAUCGCGAGAGGUAGUCCACCAAUCUCUCACCUUCUGUUCGCAGAUGAUAGCCUCUUCUUCUGUAAAGCAUAAAUCCCGCAAUGUACGGAGUUUAUGAAGAUCAUACAUACAUAUGGUUGCUCUUCAGGACAGCAACUAAAUGUAGAUAAAUCUUCCAUUCUGUUUGGUAACAAAGUUCCUCCUGACCUAAAAGCUGAGAUAAAGCAACCACUAGGCAUUUCAAAAGAAGGGGGCAUGGGCGUCUACCUAGGACUACCGGAAAAAAUAUGUUGAAGGAAUGAACAGGUUUUUGCGUUCAUUCAAGAACGUCUAAUGAAUCGUAUAAACUCCUGGUCUGCGAAAUUGCUUUCUAAAGGUGGUAAAGAGGUCUUAAUAAAAUCAGUAGCCCAAGCCCACCCGACCUACGUUAUGUCAUGCUUCCUUCUCCCACAGGAUAUCAUUCGAAAGCUCACAAGUGCCAUUUCUCGCUUCUGGUGGAGCACAAAAGAUAAUAAUCGUGGGCUUCAUUGGAUUGCUUGGAAAAAAAUUUGUUCCCCAAAAGAUAAGGGAGCCUUAGGCUUCCGGGAUUUUAAAAACUUUAAUCUCGCAUUACUUGCGAAGCAACUCUGGAGGCUCAUACAAUACCCAAACUCUCUCCUAGCUCGCGUACUAAAAGGGCACUAUUAUAGACUAUCAAACCCGGUAGAGGUCAACAAGGCGAGCAAUCCUUCAUACGUGUGGCGUAGCCUCAUGGCUGCUCAACCCCUCCUGAAAGCCGGCCUACGGAAAGCGAUCGGAGCUGGGCAAACGACCUUGGUUUGGUCCGACCCAUGGCUCCCAACGUCACCAGCACGCCCACCCAUACCAUGUGGCCCUUCUUUCAACCCCUCGCUACGGGUUAGUGACUUGAUAAACCCUCAUUUGCACCAAUGGAAACACGAGCUCCUACGCGAACUAGUAGUCCCUGAGGACAUUCCAUAUAUACAAAGUCUCCAGCCGACUCGAUCUCCCCGAGGCAUUGCUUAUUGUUGGAACCUCACCAAAUCUGGCGUGUACUCGGUCAAAUCUGGGUAUACCUUGGCCAUGGAUACAGAGGAGCACUUGGAGAAUGAUCAGGUCCUUGAACCUAGUAUAACAACUCUCCAAGCCAAAGUCUGGAAGCUCAAGACUUCCAAGAAGAUACAACACUUCAUCUAGCAAGCGAUCUCCAACUGCCUUCCGGUUUGUAGCUCGCUCUCCGAUCGCCAUUGCGGAACUGAUCGAUCCUGCCCGAGAUGUGGAGCGGAAGAAGAAACCCGGAACCACCUACUCUUCGAAUGUCUGCCAUCAGUCCAAGCCUGGGCUCUGGCGGACUUGCCGCACUCUCCGGGGCUAUUCCCGAGCAACUCGAUCUUUAGUAAUCUGGAUCACGUAUUAUGGCGCGCAAAGGAACUUGCAAUCCCGGAAAAUAUCAUUGCAACUGUUUCGUGGGUCAUUUGGUACAUAUGGAAAGCUCGCAACGACAAAGCUUUUAACGGCAAAGAUAUCUCACCGUUAGAGACCAUACAAAUAGCCCGCGCAGAGGCAGAGAGUUGGCGCACAGCCCAGAUCAUCGAACAAUCCCAAGAAGAGACAGGCGACGACACUCCCCUUACCCCUCCACCUCAAGACCCCAGCCCCCAAUGCUUGAUCGACGCAGCCUGGCACAAGGAUGACAACUUUUUUGGUGGGGGAAUGGUUCUAACGACUGAGGAUGGGGUGACGACUUACGGUUCAUUUGCUAGUAACCGAGUCUUAACCCCCUUACAUGCUGAGUUCCAAACUCUACUGUGGGCCAUGAAAUCCUCCAUUCAGUUGGACCAUAGCACUAUGAACUUCAGGACAGACUGCCUCCAGCUAGUCAACCUCCUGGAAGAAGACGACGAAGACAAAUGGCCAUCCUUACUGGCUGAAUUCGAUGAGUAUUUGUUUGAAUAUUUUUGGGUAUUUGUUUGUUUUUCGGGUAUUUUUUAGUUUUCACAUAUUUCAAAUUUUUUUGGGUCUUAAAUAUCCGGACCCAUUAUGUAUUUGAAAUUUUUGAAAUACUUAGUUGAGUCUAAAUGUCUAGGACCUAAAAGAUCUGAACCCGAAAGGAACCAAUCGAACCCGACCUCAAGACCGAAAUGCACAUGUCUAAUAUCUCUCUCGUAAUAUUUUGUGUGCAUUUUAUAAGAGUUAUAUUUGUUGAGUUGGUGAGAUUUAAGAUUUACUUAGCAGUUUUUUGGCUAAUUUAAUAGUAUAGAUUUAUAUGGUUUUUAAUGGCUUUUAAUUAAAUAGACUUAAAUAACAAAUUUUUAUUAUAAAUUUUUAUUAUAGUUGGUCUUUGAAUAUUUUCGGGUAUUUGUUUGUUUUUCGGGUAUUUUUUAGUUUUCACAUAUUUCAAAUUUUUUUGGGUCUUAAAUAUCCGGACCCAUUACGUAUUUGAAAAUUUUGAAAUACUUAGUUGAGUCUAAAUGUCUAGGACCUAAAAGAUCUGAACCCGAAAGGAACCAAUCGAACCCGACCUCAAGACCGAAAUGCACAUGUCUAAUAUCUCUCUCGUUAUAUUUUGUGUGCAUUUUAUAAGAGUUAUAUUUGUUGACUUGAUGAGAUUUAAGAUUUACUUAGCAGUUUUUUGGCUAAUUUAAUAGUAUAGAUUUAUAUGGUUUUUAAUGGCUUUUAAAUAGACUAAAAUAACAAAUUUUUAUUAUAAAUUGUAACAAUUUAGCAGACCCGAUUAGAAAUCAUAACGAAGAAAAAAGUAGAUGGAGGAAUACAUCAAUCGUUGCUCAAAAAAAAAAGAAUACAUCAAUCAUGAACAGUGCAAAAGCAACGAAACAGUUUGGAUUCAUGUGGUAUCAUUAGGCUUAAGCAGUCCAUAAGGUCCAAGUUAUUACCGUAUACCCUAACAACAUUACUUAGAUUACAUUUAAAUAGUAUUUAUGUCGUAUAAUGUAAAUAUAAUAGGUGGGCUAAAAAUGAAAAGGUCCAAACAAUUUUCAUAGGUAGAUUUGUUAAGACUUCUUCUCUUUUAAUAAUAUUGAUUUUUGCAAUCAAUAUAUGCUAAAAAUAAAGAAGACUAAUAAAUAAAUAUAUAUAAAUAUAUAAAUCAUUAGAAAUACAUCAAAAUCUUCAAAAAUUGUAUGCGCUCAUGCCAUCGCAAUAUAGACAAAAGGCAGUUAAGAGGAAGAGAAGUUACAUGGCAACACUUACAGAGCCAGCUUAUUAUAGAGGACAAACGGUACAUCCAUCACCAAAUCCAAUUGUUGGAAGAUUCAUUUUGCCUUUAAUUUUUUUUUUUAGAUCUGCAUAGUGAUAGAAAAUAAGGUAAUUUAAAUUAUUAGAUUAUACGAUAGUGAAAACAUAAGCAGUAAAGCAGGUAUUCAAGAAAAAUAUAUUUAUUACUUUUAUUGUAGUAUUUUAGAAGAUGCCUAAUCAUAUGAGUAUUAAAAAUAUCUACACAAAAGUUUUUAAUGGUGUUGAGCCGGGGGUGAACAUUUGGCCAUUUUCCGCAAGAACUAAGAAGAAUCAUAAUUGUUACUAAGAGUGUCAAAUGAGUUGUCUACAUCUAAAUAAAUUUGUUUACAUGGAUAUUAUUUUUGGAUAUUGAUUGUUCAAAGUAAAAAAUAUAUAUACUAGUAUUAUGGCCCCUGCUCUGCAAGAGGAACACACUGUAUUUUCAAUAUAAAUGUCUUACAAAAAUAAAAUAAAAACAUUAUUAUUUUAAGCAUAUAAUUGUAUAAAUCUACUUUUCCUGAAAUAUUACUUACAAAAAUAAAAUAAAAACAUUAUUAUUUUAAGCAUAUAAUUGUAUAAAUCUACUUUUCCUUAAAUAUUAUAUGUCUUGACUUUUAUGAAUGCUUAAAAAUAAAAAUCUAUAAAAAUAUAAAAUAUUUUAUUAAGUAUUAAAUAGUUAGAAAUCUUAAAAAUAAAAACUUACACAUUUGUAGGGAAAAUAUAUGUUAACAUUUAUAGCAAUUAGACACAACGUUAUUAUUUUGUUCCAAUUAAACACAUUAACAAACGAACUUCAAAAUAUGAUCAACAAAUAGUACGUAACGUUAAGAGAAAAAAAACACACGUAUGAAACCUGAUAUGACAACAAGGUUUGGACUCAGGAUACUGUGGGAUCCUGAUAAUCAUCGGUUUUGUCUACACAUUUUGGAAGAGAGUCAAUUGAUAUUUUAAAUACUUAAAAUUCAAUAAAAAAAUACUUAAGGCACAAAUGCCAACUAACCUGGAUAUCUGCAUGAAACUAAACUAUGAUCUGUCACAUAAACCCAUGAAAAUAGUAUGAGUACUUUUGCUGUUUGUUUGCACAGAAUAACAAAGUAGUUAAUUGAUGUUGAUUUCCAAGAGAAAAGUUCUGGUUAUUUAUAUAAUUUCACAAAUUGAGAUAGUGGACAUAAAACCGUUACAAAGAUCAUGGGAAGUAGUAGUUGUGAUAACUUAUUUUUGUUUCAAAAGCGUGCUCUCGUUUGUUUAAAAAAAAUCACAAAAAGAAUUAUUUAAAAAAAUUUGAUGACACAUGUCACUUGGAGAAUUUCCAAAUGACUUAUGCUUUAUAGUAUAGAGGAACACACUGUAUUUUCAACAUAAAUGUCUUACAAAAAUAAAAUAAAAACAUUAUUAUUUUAAGCAUAUAAUUGUAUAAAUCUACUUUUCCUUAAAUAUUAUAUGUCUUGACUUUUAUGAAUGCUUAAAAAUAAAAAUCUAUAAAAAUAUAAAAUAUUUUAUUAAGUAUUAAAUAGUUAGAAAUCUUAAAAAUAAAAACUUACACAUUUGUAGAGAAAAUAUAUGUUAACAUUUAUAGCAAUUAAACACAAUGUUAUUAUUUUGUUCCAAUUAAACACAUUAACAAACAAACUUCACAAUAUGAUCAACAAACAGUAAGUAACGUUAAGAGAAAAGAAAACACAUGUAUGAAACCUGAUAUGGCAACAAGGUUUGGUCUCAUGAUACUGUGGGAUCCUGAUAAUCAUCGGUUUCGUCUACAAAUUUGGGAAGAGAGUCAAUUGAUAUUUUAAAUACUUCAAAUAUAUAUAUGACUAGCUCGACUAUUCACAUGAUACAAAUCAUAAAUUAAGGCUUCGAAUGAUAACAUCGUAAUAAGCAGUGCGGAUAAAGCAGAUAAUAUAAUAUAAUACAGUUUUAUUAACUAUAGAAUAUUAGCUGUUAAAGAAAAAAAAAGGUACAUAUUAAAAUGUGAAUGGUAACAAAACUGAAAUGUGGUAAGAAAUCAAUAGUAGAAUAGUAAAAAUAUUAUAAGCGGUGCGGAUUACAAACUAAAUUUAAAUAUAUGUUAAUAUAACAAAAUCUAAAUAUUACUAAUAAAUAUAUAAAAUUUAAAUUCUUUUUAUGACAUAACAUAAACAAAUAUACUAUCAAUAAUUUUAAUUUUUCACAAUGUAUUUGCAAUAUUAUCUAUUAUUUGAGCCAUAUAUAUAUUCUCCACCUAGUGCAUUUGUUGCAUUUGAUGCUUAUAUGUCAUCUAAAUCGUUCUCCUAUUUUGUGUUGUUUAUUCUCUUCUUUAUCACUACUUUAGCAAAAUCUGCAUCUGCAAAAUUUUGCUGUCCCAUUGUACUAUUGUAGCCAUUAUAACUCUUUUUAUAUUAAUGUCGUAUCUUUGAAAAAUUAGAGAGAAUCCUACAUUUCUUCUUCUAAACCCCAAAAGUCAUCUUGGUUCCGGAACGUAAAGAAGCAUAACGUCCAUUGAUGAGUUCUUUUUUAUUUUUUGGAAGGGGACCGAAGUUAAAUUGAUAUCUCACUACUCUAUUAUGUGAUGACCUAUAAAGAGGUAGAAACCCUUGUUUAUUAGGAUAGUCAAAAUUGGCGAGAUAAUAUUUGUCUAGAUUUAUAGAAAAAUCAGAAUCACUUUCUUUUGCCACGGUGAAAACAAUUGUGUCGGACAUAAUCCUUGAGCUUCAUUCUACAUAUAAGUGAAUAAUUAAGGUCACAUAUCGCCAUGAUAAAUAAAGAAAAUAUUGAAAAGAAAAAAGGUUUGUAUACGUACCUUUUCAAAAUAUCAAACCUUCGUGUGCUUUCAAAGCAUACCUUUGCAAAGAAAAUGAAAUGAAUAUUUUUUUUGUAAAUGAAAUGAAAAAAAAAUUGUGCGUAGGUAUAUCUCUGCAAAGUUUCAAACCUUCACGUGCUUUCAACUUAGGUGCUUUCAAAUCUUCCAAACAUUCAUGUGCUUAUAAUAUAGGUAUAAAUUGCUGGAAGAAAAAAGUUCACCAACUCUUCAAACUCACAGACUUUCGUUCUUAUGUGUUUCACGUUUGUCUUACAAGCCGCACAGGGCCGGCUGAGGAGGGGGACAAGCGGUGCGACCGCCCCGGACCCAAGCCCGUGUCCCUCGUAUAUUAAUAGUUAAGGGGUUCAAUUUUUUAAAAAAAUUUAUAUUUUUAUAUAGAAAAAAUUAUAAAUAUAAUAAAUAAAAUUGAAAAGGGUCCAAAAAAUAUUUGAUAUGCAUAUAAUUUUAUUCUCAUCACAAAUUUUUUUUUUGCCCUAGGACCCAUAACAAUGUUAAGCCGGCCCUGAAACCGCACAUUAUAUUUCUUUUUUUCAAGUACAAACCACAUUAUGUGUGUUUGUGUGCGUGUUAAUCAUAAAUGGUUACAUAAAUCACUAUGUACAUGUGGUUAGUUUCAACUACUUCAGACAUCGUAACCUAAAUGUGUCAAAAUAGGUUCUUCAUGUUAGUAAUUUAUCAUUUAUGGCAUGUAUGAAAAAAUAUUCUAUUUAAUUAACCAGAUAGAGUAAAUACUCUCAGGCACGUUCUCCAAGAUUACUGUUGAGAGUUGACUUUCUGAUACAACCACCGCAAACCUCACCCUCCUCCGUCAAUACACAGUAACUCCGCCGCAACUACUUUCUGGCGAAGAAGUUUCUUUCCUUUUUGAGCUCCUUGGAGCUCGGCUUUCUCCCCUACGGUCAGCAAUCAGCAAUCAUAUGGGUUAUUUGAUGCAUAUCUGGAAAGGAGAAUGGACCACAAAAAGACAGAGUUUUAAGACCGACUCCCUUCAAGGGAACAACUCUUAAAUCUGUUACUUAUUACCCUACUGUCUACUACAGUUUUACCUCGUCUCUGAGGGUUUUACCCAAGUGUUGGGAUCAAUCUUUUUUCACUGCAUCUCGGUUCACUGCUGUGGGUAGCUUCUCAAUCUUCAAUGGCGCAACGUUUUUCACAAGCUGAUAAAGGGAUAUGGGUAACAGGCCCAUCAAGAUCUUCGCGCAGACCUCCGGUAAAAAAUCCGGCAGUAGAUAACAAAGCCCUUAUAGAAGAGCACAAAUUUACCCUAAUUGGUAGGGUAACAAACCCGUCUAUUUAGAAGACAAGAGCCCUUGUGGACUUCUUUCUUCAACACUGGAAGGUGACAUGAUCGAUAACUGGCAGGGACCUAGGCCCACAUCUCUUCCAAUUCAAGUUUGAGACGAAAAAAGAUCUGCAAUCGAUCCUUGCUCAGGGCCCUUAUCACUUCAAGAGAUGGAUGAUAAUUCUCCAACGUUGGAAACCCAUAGUCUGAACAUUUUUCCUGCUCUGAUCCCUUUCUGGUUUACUAUCCAUGGACUCCCCCUGCACUACUGGACUGAUGAAGCCAUUGGUAAUGACCUGGGACCAGUGGAAAAUUUUGAAGUGGAAAAAGCGAGAAUCAGAGUCUGGGUAAAUGGUCUCCGCCCCCUGGAAAUGAUUCUAGAUAUCAGCCUACCAUCAGGAGAAAUAAAGCAAGUCGAAUUGGAAUACAAGAAUCUGGAAAAACACUGCUUUAUAUGCCAUUAUCUCUCCCAUGACAAAGAUAACUGUCCGUCCCAGCAAGCUCAAGCUAAUACCAGAUUCUCUGGAGCUCAAGCCAUGGGAAUCUCUCAGAACCGAACGCGGGAUAGGUUGGAGUCUGAUAGACGUCGACAAGCUGAAAAGAAACUAGCACGUUCAGACUCCCUUACCAACCCCUGAGAGCGCAAAACUCAGGAUCUUGGCAGCAGUCCUCUCACGGGGAAGCUACUUAUGGUCUUGAUUGGAAGAAUGAUAAGAACUUCCGCUUUACCUAUAGAGCUAGGAAAGAUCCCCACUUUCAGCGUAACUCAACCAGAGACUCUGAUCCUCCUGCAAGAAGACACUCUGCCAAAGAAAGACUUUCCUUUGAAAAGGUAGUGGUCUCAGAGUCGCAAGGUCUAUUUGUAUCGUGACAUAACAUGAGUACCUCGAGAAAUGAAUGGAGACCAGUCCAGACUCGAUCCCAGACUGGAACAAACUCGAAAACCUCUCUUGCGCAGGUGUCUCAUACUCCUUCACCUAGACCUCAGCGCGAAGGAAAGUUGCUUCACACUCCGACUUCUCACCAGAAAUCAAAUGAGGAAAGCCUCCCAUUUCAAGAGAGGAGAUCAGCUCUGGACAAACUGUCUCUACCAAAGAAAGGAUUCCUCUCCUAUAAGAUGGAGUCGCAAACGCUGAAUCAGGACGUCUACAAGAAGUAGACAUUCAGUACUUGGAGGAGAACCUAACGGUACAUCAACCUGGUGGGAGCAACAUACCGUCUUCAUCAAGGAAACAAAACAGAGUAACUCCGGAUCAAUAUGACCCUUCACAAGACCGGUCUACGAUUAGAACCUUGAGUGAAGAUAGGCUCCAUGUAUCCCUCAGACUUUGUUCUUUCCGUGAACCAGAUGAACCAAUGGAAUCAAUUCCUAUUGCAAAAAAGAGAACCAGGGCUACUAAUUCCUCUGCUCCUCUGCUCAGUAGCAAAGUUGAUGGACCCUCUCACACCAACAUGAGAGAACAAAAGAGCCCGGCUCAAGCGAUUGGUGUUAAGGGCAGGAGAGUUAAUAAACUCAAUACUCCCCACGGAGGAAGAUCCUCCAAGACGCAAUGACGAGCGGUAAAACAGCUGCUACUAUAAAGAGUGGUCAUCAACCCCGUAUGAAGUUACUUCCAGCCACUAAGAAGAAAGGAAUGGAUUUUCGGUCUGGUCCAGCUCCUCUUCCUUAGUCAAUAUGAGCUGGAAUUGUCAAGGUAUCGGGAGCGACCUGACAGUUCGUCGAUUCCGGGAAUUCCGUUCAAAAAAUUCUCCGGAUAUAAUGUUCCUGAUGGAAACAAAGAGGCAAGACGAGGAGGUGUUUAAGAUGUAUCGGGCACUGAUUUUACAAACCAUUUCAUCGUUCCUCCCAUUGGUCUAAGUGGAGGCCUCACUCUCUCGUGGAAAGACAAUAUCAAGUUGGAUAUUCUUUACUCAUCACCGAAUGUAAUUGAUACAAGCAUUGUCUUCAAUAAUAAAACCUUUUUUAUGUCUUAUGUCUAUGGUGAGCCGAAUCGUGAGGAUCGUCUGCGGUUCUGGAAACUAAUGUCUGAGUUGGGCACCCAAAGAACAUCCGCCUGGCUUAUCACUGGCGACUUCAACAACCUCUUAGACAACGAUGAAAAAGAAGGUGGACCUUUGAGAUGGGAGGGAUCCUUUCUGUCCUUCCGUAACUUUGUGUCUCAAAACGGUCUAUGGGACUUACAAUUUUCUGGGAACUCUCUCUCGUGGAGAGGAACGAGAUAUACUCACUUCAUCCAGUCUCAGCUUGAUAGAGCUGUGGCUAAUCUCGAUUGGAUGGAACUCUUCCCAGCAGCUAGAUGUGAGUACUUGAGGUUUGAGGGGUCUGAUCAUCGACCCCUACUGACCCAAUUUGAUCAACACCUGCGAAAUAAGAAAGGGAUAUUCCGCUAUGAUCAGAAGCUUAGUUAUAAACCAGAAAUCAGAUCCUUGGUGGAGAACUCUUGGGAGAAAUCUAACCCUGAAUCAUUUUUGACUAAGAUCAACAGAGUGCGAAGAAACCUAGUGGAAUGGGCUAAAACCUAAACAGCAGCCAGCAAGGAAUGGAUUGUCUCUCACCAAAGACUCUUGGAAUAAUCCCUCUCGGCUAGUGUUCCAGAUUCUGCAAGAAUAGAAGAACUGAAAACGAUCCUUGAAACAGCCUAUGCGGAGGAGGAGGCCUUUUGGCGACAAAGAAGUUGUGUCCAAUGGUUAAGCGCUAGGGAUAAAAACACUAGCUUUUGCACGCGGUAACUAGAGGAAGACGAUCUUGCAACAAGUUCACCAUUAUUGAAGACGAGACAGGGAGAGCCUUUUAUGAAGAAAAUCACAUUGUCCAUGCUUUUGUCUCCUUCUACAAGACGCUCUUCACUGCAGGAACUCCGAACCCGCUGGAUGUGGUUCGCGAAGCUCUCUCUCCUAAAGUGACACCGGAAAUGAACCAAUCCCUGAUCUCUAUCCCGGAUAUGGCCGAAGUCCAAGCAGCGGUGUUUUUAAUAAACCCGGAUAAAGCCCCGGGACCUGAUGAUUUCUCUGGGACAUUAUAGGUGAGGAUAUCUAUCGAGAUAUCCGCAGCUUCUUUGAAUCCAGCCACCUUCAUCACAGACAGAACGAGACACAUGUUAGGCUCAUACCGAAAAUGACGGGAGAAAAGAAGGUCGUGGACUAUAGACCUAUAGCGCUGUGCAACACUCAGUACAAGAUAAUCGCGAAGAUCCUAUCGAAGAGACUCAGACCGCACCGCCACAGCCUGAUCUCACCGUCACAAUCCGCCUUUGUAGCGGGUCGCUCUACUGCGGACAAUGUACUGAUCACGCAUGAAAUCUUGCACUUCCUGAGACAAUCAAAGGCGAAAAAAUAUGUGGCAUUGGUUGUCAAAACCGAUAUGAGCAAGGCAUACGAUAGGAUCAAAUAGAACUUUCUGCGCAAAGUUCUUGAGCGAUUGGGCUUUCAUGAAAUCUUGAUUGGGUGGAUAAUGGAAUGCGUUUCCGCAGUCUCCUACUCAUUCCUCAUAAACGGUGGUCCCCAGGGAAGUGUCACACCAUCGAGAGGCCUUCGACAAGGCGACCCCCUUUCGCCAUAUCUCUUUAUCCUGUGUACGAAGGUAUUGGCGGGACUGUGUAAGCAAGCUCUUGAGAAUGGGUCUCUCCCGGGGGUUAAAGUCGCGCGCAACUGCCCUCCCAUUAAUCAUCUCUUGUUCGCCGAUAACACUAUGUUCUUUGGAAGAUCGAGCUCGUCGAGCUGUAAAGCCCUAGUCUCAAUUCUUGAGAAAUAUGAGCUCGUCUCCGGACAGUGUAUAAACCAAGCCAAAUCAACGAUCACCUUCUCUUCGAAAACAAAACCGGAAGCAAGAGCCAGAGCAAAACGCGACCUGAACAUCACUAAUGAGGGGGGGGGGGGGGGUAGGAAAGUAUCUCAGGCUUCCGAAAAACUUUGGCAGGAGAAAAAGAGAUAUCUUUGCAUCACUUGUCGAUAGGAUCCGCCAAAGAGCACACAGUUGGACGGCCAGAUUCCUUUCGAGUGUUGGGAAAAUGAUUCUGCUGAAAUCAGUCCUUGCAGCCCUACCCACGUACACGAUGAGUUGUUUCAAACUACUGAAAUCUCUGUGUAAGCAAAUUCAAUCGAUACUCACUAGAUUUUGGUGGGACAUGAAACCAGAGUUGCGGAAGAUAUGUUGGGUAUCUUGGGAUAAGCUCACUCUCCCGAAGAGUGCGGGGGGCCUUGGCUUCCGUGAGAUUGAACAGUUUAAUGAUG
RNAcentral lists this long non-coding RNA (51907 nucleotides) under Brassica napus (rape). Its description in RNAcentral is "long non-coding RNA (BNAP_LNC013883)". Lineage: Eukaryota; Viridiplantae; Streptophyta; Magnoliopsida; Brassicales; Brassicaceae. The record is from RNAcentral.